Molecule: long non-coding RNA, 58420 nt
Filed under: Cucumis sativus (cucumber)
Lineage: Eukaryota; Viridiplantae; Streptophyta; Magnoliopsida; Cucurbitales; Cucurbitaceae
Description: long non-coding RNA (CSAT_LNC001416)
Source: RNAcentral
AAAGAAUUUACAAUUGUUGCUAUUGGUGACAAAUCCAAAAUGUAAAUAGUGAGCCAUUCAAAAUAAGUUUAGAGAGAUUGAAAGACAACCGCCAAUAAUAUUGACACUAUUUUAGUUUAUAUAUAUAAUAGAAAGUAUAAAAUUGAGAGGGGGCUCGAGGUCAAAUUCUUUUAGCUCUCCAAAUCUUGGUAUCUUAAUACUUUUUAUUUCCUUUUCAAAGAAUUGAUUGAGAGAGCUUGAUUAAAAACAAAUUAUUCUAAUAAAAUAAAUUAAUUUUCUUACCUCUAAGUUAUAUAAGAUAAAAACGGAACUUUUGAAAUGAUAAGAGUUAUAAGUAGACAUUCUAUAUUUGUCACAUAUCACUAUUUUACAAGUCACAUCCACACAUAUACUUUUUAUCUUAUUAUUUUACUAGAAAAGUUGGCAAGAAUGACAAACAACAUAUAACUAAAAUCUUCAUUGAUAUUUUGUAUAAUCUACCAUAUAUUAUUUUUUUUCCACUAAAUUUUGAGAUGAUUUCAUCUUUUGAAAUAAUAACCAAUAUAAUUAUGCUCUUUUUUUCUUUUGAACCUAUAAAGCAUAGAAUCAAAAUUUUAAUAUGUUUUUUUCAAAACUUAGGUAUGGUUAUUUAACCUUAUGUUGUAAAAAGAGUUUCGUUGGAGUUCGUUUUAUUAAAAAAAUAAAAAUGUCCCGUUCGAAACUCAACCUUUUGAAUACUUAAAUAUGUUUGAUAUUUAAAAAAAAAAUGUUUCUCUUUUUACUAUUUUUUUUCCUUUUUAUCUUUUUUUAUAACUAAACCUUUAUAUUCUUACCUAAAUUCCAAAAAAGAAAAAGAAAAAAAAAAUUUAAAAACCAUUUUCUCUUAAGUUUUCAAAACUCAACUUAGUUUCUGAAAAUAUUCUCUAAAGAGUUAUAUAACAAAACAAAAAAGAAAUCAAAAGAUUGGAAGUCUAAUUUAUAAUUAAAAUUUACAAAACUUAAUUAAUUAUCUUAGGUCAAAGUUGUAGUUUUUUCUAUACGUUCAAAUGCUUUAUUAUUUUUUUUAAAGGAAAAUAUAAACCAUCAUGUUAACAAAAUAAUAAUAAUAAAAAAAAAAAAACUAAAAACCAAACAAUUAUCAUAACCUAUGUGGUGAUAUUGGUUUGGUUAUAUUUAAUGGUUUUUUGAAAGAGGCAGCCAAAUUUAUUUUUGAAGAAGUGAUGAGAAAGGCACAUGGGAGUUUGAAGCAAUAGUUGGGCCAUGAAAUUGACACAAAGCUUCCAACUGUUUCCACCUUUCAUUCAAACCCUAAAACCUUUCUUCACAAAAGUGGAGACCCAACGUUUAACCAAACUUCACCUUAUCCAAUCUUUUCUCCCCAUUUUAUAUUUAACUCAUUUUUUGAACUUAUCUUUUAUUUUACUUUAGAGCUAUUUUUUAUGCCUCCUAGAGAAAAAAAAAGUUCAUCAUCAUCAUCAUAUGUAAUACUAAAAUAUAUGAAAUUUCCAAUUUUUCAAAACACAGUUACCUAACACCACUUAGAUUAAGUUUAAGUACUAAACUUUAUAUAUAAGAACCUUAUCAAGUGUGGAACAAAAGGAAAAAGAACCUCAUCAAGUGGCUAACAUAUUUCAUUUUAUCCCUCUUUAGAUUAUUACUAUUAUUAUUUGGUUCUCUAAAACUGUUUUAGUUUUUUCACAUUUUUUUAAAUAUUUUAAAGAGAAGGUUUAAAUUUUUAGUUGAAUUUCAAGAAACAAGAAUCGUUACCUUUGGUAAUUGUUUUUUUGGUUCUUUAUUUUUGAAAAUAAACAUAUUCUCUCAAUUACAUUUUUAUGUUUUUUUUUUAUUUUUUAUCUUUCUUAAAUAUAAGUUUUGAAAUUCUAGAAACAAAUUUAAAAAACAAACAAGAUUAAACCAUAAUUUUAGUUUUCGAAAUUGAAUUCAUUUUUUAAAAUAUUGGUAAAAAAAAUAGAUAUACAAUAAGAAAAAAAAAUUAUGCUAUAUCAUUCUUUUAAAAAAAAUCAAAACUAAAAAGUAGAUAUCAAACUAAAGAAACUAAGAUAGGGAAAGUAGUACACUUUGUAAGCUUGAUUUUAAAAAAAAUUGAUACUCUAUACGUAAUUUUUUGUUUGUUCUUAGACUUUAAAAGUUAUCUCUAAGAAAAACUAAAGUUUUGAAAACUAAACAAAAUUUAUCUUAAAAUUUUUAUUAUCUUUUAUUAUUUUAACUCGACUAAAAAUUAAAACACAUUUAUUUGUAGAAGGAUGAAAAUCAAUAUAAAAUUUUAAGAAAAACAAUCUAUCAUGAAAUUAACAAUUACUAAAUAAAAAAAUCAUACAAAAAUUGACACAUAGAUAUACGUGGUUAAAACAAAUGUUUUCAAAAUACAAACAACAUCACUAGAUUAGAGAGUAUAUUAUAUUGUUCCUCUUAAAACUCUAGAGUCAAAAUCGUAAAUAAUGAUAUAUAAAUAAAUAUAUAUGUUGAAUACAAAAACUCAAGAGCUUUCGACAACAAGAACGCAACUUCAAAUCAUUUCAAUCUAAUAAUAGUUUUCACAUUUAUACAAGAAAAUAAGCCUCCUUUGAUUAGAAUUAAAGUGAAAAAGUUUUGGUCCUCAUCCCAUGCUCAAAACUUUGUUUAAUUCCAAUUUGGAAUUUGUAAAUUGAAACCAAAAUCAUUUUCGCUUUUACUUUUGUGCUUCAAUUCAUCUUCGCCUAAUUUAGUGACAAGUCACAAAUAUUAUAUCGACAUGUAUUAAAAUCACUUUUAUCGGGUUCAAAAUUAUUCUAAAAUAUAGUUUUGAAAUCCAUUUAGACUAAGGAAAAAAAGCUUUAAAAAAGAGUGAUUUUUAUUUAACACUUUCAAUAAAACACCUCUUAAAAUAAAAUUUAAAUAUGUUUUAAAAGUUGUUUUUGAGUGGUUUGAAAUUCUUAAAAAUCAAUUUUCAAAAUUAAACAUUGAAAGUAUUAUACCAAACACACCUUUAAUAAUUAAAAUUAAUUUUGGUUGAAACGUGUUAAAAUAAUGCCAAUAAUUCAAUUAAAUUUUAAAUAGGCAUGAUUUCUAUUGUUUAAAAAAGUUUAAAUACUAAUUUAGUUCUAUAUUUUCAAAGUAUGGUGUCAUAGUACAAAAUUUCAACUAUAGAUUUUAGAUUAUGUAUAUAGUGAGCUUUUAGAUAUCUUGUUAUAUGCUAAUUGAACUGUAUUUGUUUUUAACAAUUGAGAUAUUACCCAACCAAUCAGACUUAAAUCAAAUAUUCUUAUUUUAUUUUAUUUUGAAUAUUGAAAAGUACAAAAGAGAAGAAGAAAAAAAAAAGUCCACUUAUUAUUGAAUGGUGGGGUUGAAAUUGAAUAAAAAGAUAAUGAGGUAUGUUGACGUUUAUUAUUUUUGAUGAGUUGGCUAUGUUUUGUGUAAUAAUUAGUCCUUUUACUUGAUUAAGAUAGAACCUCAAAUGACCCUACUCAAUUUAAAUAACCUUACCCAACCUUUACUCUAUUUUUUAAUUCUAAUCAGACCUCUAAUUACCUCUUCAUGGGUCCUCAUCUUAAUUACAUAUGAAUGUUUGAAAAUUUAAAAAAGAAAAAAAACCAUUUUAUCAUCAAUUUUUGUUUUCUAUUUAACCACUCGAAAUCUUGAUAUUACAACUAUGAAACAUAUUAAAGUGGAGAUUUGAAUUGAACUAUAAAUGGGUGAGUUUGACAAAGAAUAUUUUCUAUAUAUUAUUUAUACUAUAUGUAAGAUAUAAUCGAACUUUACCUUGAAUUUUAAGUAAGUUGAAGUUGAGGUUAAUAUGUUUAGUGUUGAAAACAAACCAUAGAGUUAAGUCAAUUCUUAUCUAUUUCAACCAAUUAGAUUUUAGACUUUGACCACUUCCUUUUAAAUUUUGCAUAAAUCCAUCAUGACCAAUUUUAACUUCAAACAUUUAGUUAUACUUAAAGAAAUGCACAUUAAUUGCUAUUGAUUCAUACUCACUUCCAUGACUAAACUAACUAAAUUAAAACAUAAAUGUCUCGAUGUUACUACUUUUUUAAAAAUAUCUAAAUAUUUUUCAUUUAUAGUAAGGUAAUAUGCAAACAUUCAACAUCUUAAUUAAAGAUACGAGCAAAAGAAUAGAAAUCUGUAAUGAGAAUUGAAAGAACAAUAUGUAAUGAGAAUGAAAAGAAGUUGUUAUAUCUCAUGGAAGAGUUGUGUAAUACAGAAAGGGAAAAAAAUUGUGAUGAAAUAAUUUAAGGAUUUCAAAUUUUAUUUUCACUAAUCGAAAUUGGUUUAAGAAGAAGAAGAAGAAGAAAAAAAAAUGGUUCUAAAGAACAGAGAAGAAAUCAUUUAACUCUGGAACUGCAUGGAGAACUCAAAUAAGUUCCAUUAGAAGGAUGAAAUUUAAGCCCACAAUGAAGAUGACAUUCAUACUUCACAGAUCCAAGCAAUCCAACUCGCCAUUGAACUCUCGUAUUCCCUAUCAAAUCAAAUCGACUCAGAUCUGCCUUCAAAUCAGAAUCAACGCUCUCCAUUUGCUCUGGAUUCAGAGGAAUUGAAUUCGAAACAACAGCGUAAGGGAAUUUCAUUGAACUGUUCUUCCUCACUUCGAAUGGAUCCGCCACAAGUUGUGCGAUCUUGAUCCCUAAGAAAUGGAGGAAGAAACUCGAAUCCGAGAAACUGGCAUGAGCUUUCGCGUUAUCAUUCUUCGCUUCAAUGAUGAUCGUUAACUGAACUUCGAGGCGGCCGGCGAUGUCAAUUUGGAAGUUGUCGAGAUGAGCGUCGAGAAUGGAGAUGGUGGGAAUCCUAGGGUGGAUGACUAGGUAACCGAUGAAGACGACGAUGCCUCCGAUGAUGACGGCAAUUGAAACAACGGUGCAGAGUAAGGCAGCGAGCCAAACGAGGGGAUGAGUGUGGCGCUUUGCGUCGGAGAUUAGUUUGGGUGGCAUUGGGCGGGGGCGGUCCACAUCCGGCGGUGGAGAUUGAAAUAUUGUUUUGAAAAUUGAGAGUUAAUUUGAGUGGGCUUUUGAAUUGAGAUUUUUGGUUUGAAGAAUUACAAACUUGAAUUUGAAAGAGAUGGUUUUGGUAUCUCUACCUUUCCUGCUUCUAAAGCAUUAGAGUUAUGAACUCAAAAAAAAAAAAAGAAAAAAAGUUGAAUUUGAAAAUUGAAAAUUAAAAAAAUGAAGAAUGCUGUUGGGAUACCAGAAUUUAGAGAGAUGGUAUAAUUGAACUAAGAAUCUUUCUUAUUGGAAAGUAAAAUACCAAACUUGCACUCAUAAUUCCUUCCCAAUUGUUGGAAGCUUUGGAGGAACUAUUGAAGCCUUAGGAAGCUAUUCUAUUAUUGCACCCCUUCUGUUUUUCUUUUUUAAAGUUACAUUAGACUAAAUAAAUAUCAUUUUUAAAGGUUAGAGGAAUACUUGCUACUUCAUGUUAGGGGUGUAAAUUGGUUGCUUCGGCUUGGUUUUCAGGGCAGUUUUUCAUAGGGCUUUCGAACCAAUAACACUGUGUUUGCUUCUAAGUUAAGAAAGAAGACAAGAAGCAUCUCCUUAGGUUUUUGGUUCUAGCUAAGGUUUCUUAUCUCAUUCCAAUGUUUAGCUUACUAUUCAUUGAGAUUCUUCUUUCUCCACAUGAAAAUUGAAGGUAAAGAGUGACAUAUAAGAGAGAAUGGAUAUGUAUUCUGACUCGUCAGUCUUCUUUCUCAUUCUACUAUUAUCAUAGUUUGUGAAAUAAGGAAUCUUUGUUUUCAAAUAUAGUUAUUAUACUUGCUUCACACCUCACCCCAUUCUAAGAGGAACAAAUCGAAUUGUUGCUACUCAACCUUCUUUAGAGAAGGAGUCAUUCGAGGAAUAUGUUCCUCUAUCAUUUUCUUAGUUAUGGUAUUGAAAAGGAAUUGAGCUUCUAACAAUGCCGAUAUGAAAUGAGAUGAUUACUAGUUGGUACUUCUUUCUCUUUUGAUUUGGCCUUUAACCCGUUUUGUUGGGGUUCUAAAGAACAACUAUGAUUGGUUUAGUAAAUGUUCAAACCAACUUCAACCAAAUCGUUUGUCAAAUAAUUUUGGUGAGUUUAAUUCCCCAAAAAAAGUUUGAAAAAGCCCAUUUGAAUUUCUUUCAAACUGAUGUCAACUGAGUCCCUUCUUGUUUUCAAUCGACUACCUUCUGUUCGGUUCAGUCGACUCGGUUUUUCAAUUAUUAUGUUUUGAGGUAGCUACAAGUUUCUUUAUCUAGUUACCUACUUUCAAUAAAUAUUUUUAAAAGCCAAACUAAAAUUAAGAAACUAAAAUGGACAAAAUAGUUUUCAUGACUUGUUUAUUUUAUUUUUUUUUUAAAUUUAACUCAGAAUUAUACUGAAGUGUUUGUUUAAAAAUGUGAAAAUCACAUUAUGAUAUUCAGAUAAAAAUAAGUAUAAAUGUCAAAACUAUUAAAACUAAAGGCAAACCAGUUAUUGAAUUGCAUCCCAGUUUUUAAGAAUUAGUUUUGAAAUUUUAGAACACUAUUAGAAAGUAUAUGACAAAAUAAAAAUCCUAUAAGACUAAAAUUAAUGUCUCUAUAAACUCAAUUUUCAAAGACCAAAUGAUUGUGUAGUGAAGUUAUAAAAACUUUUAGACCAAAUACUUACGUGAGUAUCCUUCUAAUGAUUCUUAGAUACAAUAAAUAAUAAAAGCAUGCUACAUAUAUCUAUGUAUUGAUCAAUGAUGAUAAUGAAUUUUAUAUUUGAAUUAUGGCAGUGAUUCUCAAUGGUUAUUUGUUUUGAAUUUGAGUAUAGAAGGGAAAAUGAGGCAGCAAAAGGAAUUGUUCAUUCUUCCUCUUCUUUACUCAACAACAAUAGGUAUGUAUGGAGGUCUAGUGUCUUGCAAAUUUGAGUGUUAGAGAAAAAGGUACAAAUUAGACUUUCAAAUCACGUCGGUGAUGAUACAAAUACAAUUAAGAAAUGAUGAAAGUAAGAUUCUCUUUUUCUUUUUUUUUUUCAUUGUUAAGCCAUACAUAAUAUAAAAUAUGAUAAUUUUCAACCAUGUCUCUAAACGUAGAGAUAUCUUGAUGCCAAAUUUUGGAUUGAAAAUUGACUCUAAUAUCAAAGUUAGAGAUGGAGAACUCUCGAAUAGAAUGAUUGUUCAUUUUUUAUUUGACUCCAAUUUCUUUCUAACUUUUAAAUUUAUUUAAAACAAAUACUUCUCGAGGUAUAAAAAACUACCUAUAUAAAAUGUUCGAGAUUGUUCAUUUUUUAUUUGUCUCCAAUUUCUUUCUACCUUUGAAAUUUAUUUAAAACAAAUACUUGUCCAGGUAUAAAAAACUACCUUUAUAAAAUGAUUUUUAAUGAUAGAGAUUGACAUAGAAUAAAUAGAAACAAAAAUAUGUGUAAUAAUUUUUACACGUUAGUCAUCAGGUGAGCUUUCUUCUUUGAUUUUAAUGCAAAAAAGAUUUUAUUUUUCUUAGCAAAUUUUUAAUUGAAAGCUAUUUUGGAACUAAAUUCAAAAAACAAAAAGAAUAUUCGAAAAAACUUUCAAAAUCUUGAGUAUAAUACUAUAAUUGAUACUCUACCCUAAAGAUAUUUAGUAUAGUUUACAAUUUUUAAUCUCCUUUAACUUCAACUAAAUGGGGUUAAAUUGAAAUGAGUAAAAAUGUGAAAAUCAUAUGAAAUUCCCGAAAAAAUUAAUAAUAAUAAGAUGAUUUUUAUAAGAAAAAAUAACAUGAAAUUCAGUGACAAAUAAUGUACUUUUAAGUAGAAUUCAACACUUCUACAUAUUGUACAAUGUAUUUGUAAACUAGUAAUUUCAUUUCAUUCAUGAAGACAAAAUAAGAUAAAUUACAUACUUGAAAGUAUAGAAAACUAGCAAAUCUUUAGUAGCCCUACACAAAUCGUCCAACAAAUUCAGCCCAUUCUACUCGGACUGCAUCGAUUUCUUCUUGUUCAUAGGUAUGUAUUGUGUUAAACUGAAAAAAGGGAUAAACAUACCAUAAGAAUAAAUCAUAUAUAAAUCAUAACAUAAUGAUAAAUAAUAAUACGUACAAGAUCACUUAUGUGGGAAUUAGAGUUUUUCACUAGUUCUCGUAGAUACUUUUGCACAUAGUACCCACAUUCUAUAGAACCCAAAGGACGGGGGCACUGCGUGGAAAAAAAUAUUGAAAGAAAGAAAUGUACUUGAGUCAUACAAUUAUAAUGCAAGUUUAAUAUGGUAUAGAAAUCAAUCAAAGCAAACUAACCUUUAUAGGUUUCCAACGUAUACGAGAGCGAUAUUGUUUAGGAGAAUGUUCAAAUUGCCAAUGUUUCAACGACCUACACAGUUUGAGACAUUAGAAUAACAUAAUUGUAAAUGUCAACAACCAUGAGAGUUGAAAACACUUACUUAUUUAUGACUCCUUGAAAUUCUGGUAGAAUCUUAGUUCGUAGGGGGUCCAUGACAUAAACACAAUUUUCUCGAAGAUCGAUAACAAUCAAUAUCCAGUGACAAGUACUGGUAAUAAUCAACGUUAUAAUAUUAUCAUUUAUGAAACUUUAAUCAAGUAGAAACAAUUCAAACCGUCAUUACUUACCCAGUGUUAUAAGGGAUGAGCACUAGUUGAUCCAAGUUUGCCAUUUCUAACCUGCUGAUUAGAUUUCUAGAACGAUUUUCUUGAGAUUUUAUAUGCGACGAAAUGGUUGCUUGGUCAACUAGUACAAACCUUUUUGUUAUCUCAGAGUCGCAUGCAUUCCAAAGACACCUGUAAAAUAAAAUGUACUAUAAAACAUUAAUACAUAAACAAAUAUAGUCCAUGAAUCAAGAUGUGUAAAAAGGUUGAUAUACUUACGCAAUGUAUGUAAGUAUGCACGAAUAACCAAUUUCAGUCAUUCCACAAUAUUGUAUGAUGUCGUCAGGGCGUAAAUAAAUUGUUUUCUCCUUCCCAAAGAUAUGCUCAUUCAAAUUGAUUUGAAUCAUAUCCUUCACUUGCAUUGUGUGGAUCGCGUAUCUAUUUAGGAGCUUAAUGGUAACGUGGACAUCCGUAUAUUUGGAAGAUUGUGUAGUACUCUCAGUUGCAGCCAUAGAUGGAGCCUGCCACAACCAAAAUUGCACACUCAAAUUGCAAAAAGAUAAGGGAAAAAAAUUUGAAAAAAGGCGUACCUUUUUCUCCUGGGUCAAAAUUACAAGUUUGCGAGGCCAAGCCACAAAGUUACCAAUCGCUUGAUUUAAAGUCUCUAUUUCACCCUUUAGAGGAAUCGGUAGUGCAACAUCUUCAACCAUGAUAACAUCAACCGUCACUCUAAUAUUAUCAGCUCCUAGUGGAAUUCCAUGAAUGGUUGGACAUUGAACAUCAGACUCAAACAUUUUGCCUAUAGCAACAACAUUGUCAAGAGAUCCUAUAGCCAAAUGACACGGUAUUCCCUUCAAGAUUUUAAAAAGAAAAACACGAUUAAGGUCAUGUCCUAUAGUUAAGUUUCAAAAUCAAAACACACUUAGUACCUUCAAAAUAUUUUCAGGCUCUUGAAGAACCUGUACCUCCAAAAUUUCUUCAGGCUUUUUGACAACCAUUUUUCCUUUUGGAACCUUUUUUCCUUUCUGAACCUUCUUUUCUUUUGUCUUCUUCCUCAAGACACUACUUUGAGAUUGUCGAGUCUCAUUUUCUUCUUGAGAUUGUUGAGUCUCAUUUUCCGCUUGAGAUUGUUGAGUCUCAUUUUCGGGUUGAGAUUGUUGAGUCUCAUCUUCGUCUUGAGAUUGUUGACUCAAUUUCAAAUUUCCUCUGGCAACAUUGACAUGUAGGGCUGGUGAAACAAACUCACCCACUCCCCUUAUACGCCCUCUAUGUUCUGGCGUGCCUAGUGCUUCAGUCAAAAUAUCUUGUCCCUUACGUAUCGCAGCUAAUUCAUCCUAUAACAAAAAUUUUAGUUGGCCCAUCAUAUAUAUCACAUCACGUCUACGACACUUAAUUCAAGUACAUCAUUUGAACCUCAUCAAGUACAUCAUUUGAACCUCAUUAAAACAAAUAACAUAUAAUCUUACUAUUCGCUUAACACAUUCGCUAGUGGCAUCAUCAAAGCAUCCAUUAUUUUUCCUUUUCCGCGCUUCUUUCCAUAAAGUUGCUCGAUUGCAAGGAUCACUUGACAAUUCCUAUAUGAACAUACACAUCAUGCAAUUAGCAUAACCAUAUUGUCAUAAUACAUUUAAUUUAAUUAGCAAAACUUACCAAUUCCUGGGCAAGAUUUGCAUAUCCCUUACGAGAGAUGUGAUGAUUAUAUAUGCAUUUCGCCCUCCUUUCCCUUUGAGCAGAACUAAAUACCUAUAUAGUAAACCUUUGACUUUAAAUUACCAAAAAACUAUUCACAGUUUAGAAAUUAGAAUAUAACUACCUCCCACUCUUCACUUAGUCUUGCUUUAACAAAUGACUCCCAUUGUUUCUUAUCAAUAUGUGAAUAUUUUUCUGGAGGAUAUUGCAAGCGAGAUGGUUCGUCUUUAUAUGGAAGUAUGUACAUUUGAGUUAAUGUGGACUUAAAACUUCGAAACUUCUUUGAUGCAGAUUGAAGAAUAUAAUGUUUGGAACUGAGGUCCACCACGAACGACAUCUGGGUAGUAAAAAUCUCAAAAUAAUUAGAAAUCGAGUAAACUACACAAGUUCGUUACCUUAAUGUUGUAAAAUUCUUACUUGUAUACAAUCAAAAAUUGUAUCUUUAAGUUCCUGUGGAACUUCUUUCCAACUAUUGUAAGUCAGUGGGAUUUGUUGUCUAACACACACACCAAUGAAACUUUGCAUUUUCUUUGCAUUUUCUCCAACAGGUUGACCUCGAUCAUUAUAUUCAAUUGUUUUGCGUUCGCCAGAAUUUCUUAUGUGUAACAACUCGGGCAUAAUGGUUGGGCCACGUCGAGCAGUCUUCUUAACCUUAUAACGAAUAAGAACAUUUCCCUCAUCUUGACUGCUGCUACACGAGUCAUCCAUAGUAUGAAUCUGCAAGAAAAGUGCAAAAUAUACUAUUAUAAGAUGUACCCUCACAGUCAUGUCUAGGUCCUUGAGAAAGAAGAUGAAAAACUGAACAAUUGAAGCGUUCAUUAUCCACUCAAGUUCAUGAUGUUGGGACAAAAGUCGACAGCAUGAUACAGAUUCUAGUAUCAAAAGAUAUUCGAACAAAGAUACAAAGACGCAAUAGGUAUUAGAUAUAAUCCUUAGUUAUUAAGAAAUCACAACUUAACCUAAGUACGUAACUUCAUAUAACGGCAUCAGCAUCAUAUAUCCUAACUUCCUACAAACACAACGUACUCAUUACAUACUUUAGAUAUCCACAGCAUACUGAAGAUGGCAUCACUUACCCUAGCUUAAAAAUACAACACCUGCAAAUAAGCGAGGACUAGAAACGAUAGAUACAAUAAGAAUAAGAUAAUUCAAAGUUUUGGGUGGGGAUUAAAACUACUCACAUAUACAGCAAUAAGCUAAAGAUUUCGAUAAACGAGGAACCAAAUAAGUAAUGAAAACAACAAAUUGAGACUUCCUGACAUUCUUAGGAAGCCUUGUAAACAGACCGACCCAUUAUUAAAUAUUAACAUGCUGAUCAACAAGUUAAACAUUAACACUAAUGAACAUGCUUCCUUUUCUCUAAAUUAAAGUCUUAAAAGAACCUUAAUUAACUUACUACUACAUAGGUACAUGUCAAUUUCACAUGGUAAUUUUUUUUCUAGCAUGAUAAAAUCACACAAUCAAACUUGAAGAAUAAUAAGCGAAAAAAAUACAACAAUCAAAUUUUCAUAACAAGUAAAUUCAUGUCAGACCAAUCUUAGCAUAAAGCUUUUGACAAAUCUAGGAAAUGGCAGCCAUGAACAGCUACUACAUGUGGGAGGCGGAGAACAAAGCAGCAAAAAAACUACACCACAAAUUAUCAACACAGUGAACAAAACCCACAAACAACAAAGAAUGGCGGCAAUCCACGUUGCACUAAAGAGGAGCCCACAAAAAACGACAGUAAGUGGUGAUAGAUCUAGACAACGUAGAAAAACCCGCAGAAUAAACCCACUGCACAUCUACAACGAUGACAAAUAUGAAUACAAUCACACUGGUUAACAACAAAUACACACGAAUGGCGGUAAUCAUUUACCCACAAAGAAAAGAAAAAGAUAGAAUGCCACAGAGGAAAGAGGUGAGAAAAGACAGUGAAAAUGCGAAGGAAAAAAACAUUAUGGAAUAGAUCACAUAAUCAAGGCCAAUGACCGACAUUAUUGACCGACAUUGUAGCUUGAAUUUUUUGCAUUUUGAAGUUUCCAAAUGUUUUCCCAUGUCCGUCAUUGUAUCUCUUCUAAACAACCACCAAAGGUCAGGUUUGUUGUAGUACACACUGAGGUAAGACAAGAUCACUUGAUCAAAAGGGAUUGACAAAGGAAAGAAUUAGAAACCUUUAGAAUGACCUGGACUCCAAAUAUGAACAUAGUUUCUACUCAUAUACAACAAAACUCAAUUAUUCAUAAAAAAUAAUUAGAUACCACAAAAGGUUAAAACUUAAGAAAAUAAGGUAUACUACUAAUUUUACACGCACAAAUAUUCUUUUACACAGAUUUGAAGAUAACAAAGAGCCAAUUGCAAGGUCGUGGUCUUCACCAUUGAACCGUCUCUGAUUCCAAGGUUAAGGUCAAAGUCACUCUCUUCCUCAUGAUAAGGGCUGAACCUUGAAGAGAGUAAUAUCAAACCUUCAACCUUAAAGAAAGCCAUAGAUAUCUUAACUAUUUAAGGAUGUAAUAUAAUGCAUGAGAAUGUUAAACUUAGUAGAAGCAAUAAAGUAAAGAGACACCGAGUUACGUGGAAACCUUAGUACUGGGAGAAAAACCACGAUUUACUUUUCUUAUUAAUUUCUCAUAAUCACAAAUGAUACAAGAGGGAAAUAAAUAGAAUACAAUAUGGGACAGAAAAGGAAAGAAUAGUAGGUCAAAUGUCCCUUUGGGCCAAGCCCAUUAAAUCUAACACUCCCCUCAAGUUGGGACAUAGACAUCAAUGAGACCCAACUUGCUAACAAAAAAGUCAAAAUUCUGUCUAAGAAGCCCCUUAGAGAGAACAUCAGCAACUUGUUGGCUUGAAGAAUGUACAAAAUGCACACACUUCCAUUGUUUAGCUUUUCUUUGAUGAAGCAUCAAUCAAUCUCAACAUGUUUAGUUCUAUCAAGUUGAACUAGAUUGUUGGUGAUAAUGGCUGCCUUGUUAUCACAGAAUAAUUUCAUUGGUAUCUCAACAUCCUGAUGAAGGUCGGACAACAAUUUCUAGAGCCAAAUUUCCUCACAUAUCCCCAAACUCAUACCCUAUACUCGGCCUCAGCACUGUUCCUGGCUACGACUCCUUGCUUCUUACUCCUCCAAGCUACAAGAUUGCCCCAUACAAAGGUACAAUAAUCGGAGGUAGAUUUUCUGUCAUCCACAAACCUGCCCAAUCAAAAUCAGUAUAGGCCUCAAUAGUUUUCCUGUCUGUCUUUCUGAACAUCAAUCCUUUACUAGGAGUCGUUUUCAAGUAUCUCAGGAUUUUGUUGAUGGCCUUCAUGUGUUCCUUAUAGAGAGCCUUUAUGACCUGGCUCACAACACUCACAUUGGUCUAACAUGGAACAAGUAAAUCAACUUACCUACAAGGCGCUAAUAUUGUUCUUUUAUCAACUGGAGCUUUAUCACCUGAAUUUCCCAAUUUACAGUUGAAUUCAAUAGGGGUGUCAGCAGAAAAACACCCUAGCAUACUUGUUCCAAUUAGCCAAUCAAGGAUAUACUACCUCUGAGAUACAGACAUACCUUCUUUAGAUCUGGUUAUUUCCAUUCCAAGUAAAUAUUUCAGAUUUCCCACGUCCUUGAUUUCAAAUUCAUCAUCUAUCCUUAGUUUCAGUUGGAUAAUUUCAGCAUGAUCAUCUCCAGAUAAAAUGAUGUAAUCAACAUAAACAAGGAACACUGCAAUCUUCCCAGCCUUGGAGAUCUUUGUAAACAAAGUAUGGUCAGAGUGCAGCAAAUAGCAGGAUUCUAACUGUAUUCCGUUUAGCAACGGGGGAAAAAGUUUUUGAAUAAUGAACACCAUAGUUUGAGUAAACCCUUUUGCAACUAACCUCGCCUUGUGUAUGUUAAGGGUUCCAUCUGUUUUAUAUUUGAGAGUGAACACCCAUUUGCAUCCCACAAUUUUAUGUUACUUGGGUAGAGCGCAAGACACUCUAAAGCAAUGUGGAUAUUUUUCGAUAGCAUUGUAGAGUCAAGGCUGGCUAUGAAGGCUUUGAACUGUAAAGAGAGAUUAUCAUAGAAAACAUAGUUACAAAUAGGGUAUUUUGUGCAAGACCCGAUACCUUUUCUCAGCGCAACGAGGAUAUCCAAAGAAGGAUCAUUUUCAUCAAGGUUCCCUGAAUGAUCCCAUUAAGCCUCAUUGCCAACAGUUUCUACUCUGACCUCAGUCUCACCACCAAUGUCCUUUUCUUUCACAUUUCUAGGAACAACAACAUCAGAUGUGUCAUUCUCACUCAUUUUACUUUCAACACAUGAUUCGAGUCUUGGACUAGAGUCGACUAAUCAGUAGGGGACUCAAUUUGCUUUCUGAGAUUUCUCCAAUAGUAUGUUUUCCAGGAGACUUAGCUUGUAGGUAGGACUAUGAGAUGAGCAUCAGAAUCAGAUAAGGUACUAGGAGUAGGUUCGAUAAACUCUAAUGUACAGUUAGACUCUUCACUCACACUCUCCCCAUUAAGGAGGGAAGGGGUAUAUGUCCAAGUAUACGACCUCAAACAACAUCAAACCUGAGGUUAAGUCCUGCAAGGAAGUCAUAAAUACGAUCAUCUUCUUCAAGUCUAGCAUAUUGUAUACCGGAGUAUCCCAUACUAUUUCUCUGCACAAGUCCAUCUCUUGCCAGAGAAGAGAAAGCUUACUGAAGUAGGAGGUUAUAUCUGGUGUUCCUUGCUUGCAGUCAUGGACUUGUUUCCUCAGCGUAUACAACUGAGAAGCGUUCUGACGCUUUGAAUGGAGUUUCUGAGUCGUGACCCAUAGAUCCUUUUCAGUAGUUGCAUAAAGUGGAGACGGCCUAUAUGUGGUUCCAUACUAUUAAUCAGAAUAGACCGAAUAAAGGAGUCCUCUCCUUUCCAGAAGCGUUGCAAGGCAUUACUUGGUGGAGGACGGACAAUCUUCCUUGUCAAAAAGCCAAAUUGUGCCAACCCUCGAGAAACAUCUUGAUCGAUUGGGACUAGGAAAAAUAAUUUUGGUCAUUCAGCUUCUCCUCUGGAAAAGUCCCUGUAGAUGGUGCUAGAGAACCAAUUAUAUAAUUUGAGGACAAGUUAGGGAGUGAAGUUACCGAGUUCCUGGAAUACAUCGGAAAAUUGGUCGAUUUGGAUUGCGCCAAGGAUUCACCAACUUCAAAUCCAAAUAUGUUAUACCCUCGAUUGAUCCCGAAACUAUGAAUGUGCAGCUAGUCAAAAGGGUAUUGAGAUUGGACUUGGGAUGACAAAUGAGAGAAAAUUGGCUGGUUUAUGGAGGUGUUCGACGACGGCGCGUAAGGGUAAGAUGGAGUGCAUGCAGCUGGUUUCUGGUGUUGUGCUGUGCAGCUGACUCCGAAGAUUGUGAUUGCCAGGGUCUUUUGAAGCUGGUGGACUAGCUUCUCUAUGACGGCCUCUAUCUCUAUCUGGGUUUCACCUAUACCGGUGUCUAGGAUUUCGUCUUUAGCUCGCUCUGAUACCAUAUUAGAUUCGAUAAAGUAAAGAGACACCAAGUUACGUGGAAACCCAAGUACUGGGAGAAAAACUACGUUUUAAUUUUCUUAUUAAUUUCUCAUAAUCACAAAAAUACAAGGGGGUAAAUAAAUAGAAUACAGUGUGGGAUAAAAAAGGAAAGAAUAUUAGGUCAAAUCUCCCUUUGGGCCAAGCCACUAAAUAUAACAAAACUCAUCAACAAGGAUAAGUAAGUCCACAUGCAAUAGACGUGGCCUUUUAGUUCUACAAUGUAUUGAUCUUACUUGACUAAAUAUCCUGGGAAGAAGAGUUCAGCAAUUAAGGAUGAAGAUGGGAGUUAAAUUAGAAAGCUUAGUAACUUGAAAAAUAUACAUAUGUAUCAAAUGUAAUAUAUGUGGUUUUUGGCUAAAUGAUGGAACAGUCAAUUAAAAAACUGUUUGAACUACAUCAUCCUUUCAAGAAUUUAACCCGAGAUAAAAAUUCUUUUGAAAUUUAAAGUAGUUAGUUUACAAAUUCCCUUCAAACUUGUAAUUUAGCUUCAUUCAUUUUCAGUUUUCACAUACAUCUAUCUACAACCCUAUUGAAAUAGCCUACCCUUGUUGAAUAUAAUUGACCAAAUUGCCGACUCUAAGUUACCUUACUCCCCUCCCCUACAACAUUUGGGGCCAAGAAUAUUAAUCCUAGGUAGGUGGCCUCUAUGGGUUAAACUUUGAACCCAUUUCUUAAUCCUUAUAAGUCUUCUAUUAUACCCACGGACCUUAUUGACCAGAAGGUCAACCUGAUGAUUACGUCUAAACUUUUUUUUAUACAACUCUGUCCAAGUUCUGUUCAAGUUGUUCUCAAUUAAAACCAAACAGGUAGCUCUCUUUCCAAGCAACUGAAAAAAGCCUCUUGAAAGAAAAAUUUGAACUACCAACACAAAAGCAACAAGCAAUCCCAUCCGAAAAGGCACCUAAGCUCCCAAUUCCUCUUCAGUCACGUUGAAGCUAACCAUUCCUGCGUUUUAAAUUCUUCCUCCUAAUAACAACCCAACCUGCCAUGGGAAAACACCGUUUUGGCUAUGCCUUAAGCCUCUCCAUCGUUGUCUCACUAGCACUCAUUGCCUUUGUCUCGUGUGUAGCUGCAGAAUUGCACAGAACAAAGGUACAGACUCAAAAGUUUCAUUGUUAAAUAAGAUUUUGGUUUUUGACUAACAAUCCACUGUUUUUGGUAGACGAAAGACCUCAAGUUGGAUGGGAAGUUGUGCUAUUUGCCUGAAAGUCAAGCAUUUGGAUAUGGGGUUGCAGCUUUGGCCUGUUUGGUUAUGGCUCAAGUUAUUGGGAAUAUUUUACUUUGCACGAGUUGCAGUAUCAAUUCAAGAGAGAAGAAGAGAAGUGAACAACCUCCUAAAAGACCAAAUUUAGCCACAUUUUUUCUUGUUGUUUCAUGGUAGGUGUGAUUUUAUUUCUCUCGUUUUAACUCAUUCAUCAACCAUUAAGAAUUCUUCCAAAUCACCAGUCAUAGGCAUGAGCUCAUCAUCUGAUCUCAUUCAUCUUCAAAUGAAAUUUAAUUUGAUAACAUUUCGUUCUUGAUUGAGAACCUUCGAAGAGAUUCAUAAGAUUUCCAGAGAAAAUAAGAAUCAAUAUAUAAUUGAACUGUGAAUGAGAGUGGAUUUGAUGUUCUAGGGCAAGCUUUACCGUGGUGAUAUUGCUACUGAGCACGGCGUCGAGUAUGAGCAGACAGCAGCCGUACGCGACGGGAUGGUUGGGCGGAGAGUGCUACUUGGUGAAAAGCGGUGUAUACGUCGCCGCAGCAAUUCUAAUCCUCAUCUCGAUAUGCUCAACUGUAGGCUCCGCCGUAACAGUUCGAAUCAACGAAUCCAGAAAAUCUACCACACUUCCAAAAUGAAAAGGAAUAAAAAGCUGAAAGAGUAGAGAAAAAUAAAGGCGUCGCAACGGCAAUGGCAGGGGCAACGGCGGCGAUCGGUAGCCUGCAGCAGAAAGGUCCGGGUUGGUAUGUUCCUGCGAUGGUGCCUCGCUGGAAGGGCUCUUGCCCGAGUUCACAUUUUUUAUUCGGUGAAAAUAACACUUCAAAAUUACUUUGGUGUCCCCAAAAUUUAAGAAAAUUAACCCUUUUAGGUAGAAAAUAAAUUUGAAAACUAGUUUUUCAAUUAAGGUUGCUUUUCAUGGUACGUUUUUUAUUCUAAUUUAAUUUUUUUUAAGUAUAAAUCGAGGUUUUGAUAUUUGAACCUUAACUUUUCCAUCCUUUAAUACAUAUGUAUAGAUGAGUUAAUGAAUAUUUUUAUAGGAAGAAAUUUUAAUUUUCUUUUCUCCUUUUGAUAAUUAUAUAAUUUCAUAUUAAAAUAAUCUUAUUCUAUCUAAGAAUGUUAUGCAAAAAAAAAAAAAAGAGAUUUUAUCCCAACGUAAAUGAAAGUAUUGUAAAUAAAAAAAAAAAUCUUUAAUGAUAGAGAAAUAUAUUUUCACUAAAUAAAAACAUCAUUUUAUCCAAUUCUAAGUCACCUAUAAACAAAUUUUAAAAAAUGUUCAUUUUAUCUAAGUCAAAUUGGGGUAAGAAUUCUCUUUAAAAAUAAUAUUUUUGUAAAAUAAUCUAAAAUUUCAUUUUAAAAUCUUGAUAAAAUAAUAAGGAAUAAGAUUGUAAUUUAAAGUAAUUUGAAAAGAUUAUAAUUUAGCUUGCAGUAAGCUUAUUGGAUUCUUAAUUAUAAUUUUUUAUUUCAUUAAAUAUUAACGUUCAAAUACAACGACAAAAUGAUUACAUAAUAUAGUUUAUAAACUAAAUUGUAACAAAAUUGAAUGUACAUGAACUACAAAUCAAAGUUCACAAAUAACAUUGUUGUUUAGUAAUCAAUAGUCAUUUUUAACCAACAAAAUUUAUAUGGGUGGAUGCGAGUUAGGUUGAGAGAUUGUUUUGGCCAAACUUGAAAAACUCGUCUUCGACUCAAUCCAUUCUUUAAUUUUAGGUGAGACUAUGUUCGGUUGUUGGAUUGAUAUUUUUUUAUUACUUAAAAUACUUAAAUUAACUCCAACAAAUGAUUGUAAUUAAAUCCUCGUUAUACUCGAAUGUUAGAUAUACCAAAUAUUCAUGAUAUAUAGUACAAACUUCAAAUAAAAGCAAGCAUCUUAUGAUUCUAAAAUAAAAUACUAAUAAUAUGUGUGUAUUCAUGUGUAUUGAGUAAUUCAAGUUGGAUUGGAUUUACGUGGAAAAAUUUAAUAAACCUGAGACCCAAUCAUUGUAGUUUGGUUUGAGUAGUGUAGGCUUUUCGAGUUGUUGGAUCAUUUCAACACCUCUAAACCAUAUAUUUGAUGUUCAUUUCAUUUUAGUCUAUAUUUUUUUAAAUAUAUAAUAUUUUAUCUUUAAAGUCUCAUUCAAUAGCUAUUCAAUCUUUUAGCUAUUUUAAAUAGGGAAGCAACCAAACAUCUUACUCGAUUGAAUUACAACUAAUUAGGGAGGUAGCAAUGUCACAUUUAGGUACUAUGUUCAAUUUUGGACAUGAGCCAUAUGGGCAUGUUUGCAUUGACAUAGGAGAGUACGUAAAGGCUUUUAAAGAAAAGUCCGUUUUUAUUUAAAACUAUUUAGAGAUUGCUUUCUUUUUCUUUCUUUAUUUCUUUUCAAAAACUAUUUUGAGAAACAUUUUAUUUUUUACUAAGAUAAUUUAUCUUGAAAGUUAAAAACUUACAAGAAUUAAUGAAGGCAAACAUAUUAAAUAUUCUCCUUUUGGCAAAAUUCCUGAAUUUGUAUGAUACUAUGAAGUAGCAUGUGAAAAUAAUUGCAAGAAGGAAACAAUUUUUAUACCAACAUUUAAAGAGAAAAAUAUGUAUAAUAUAGAAAAAUCGUAAACUUUACCGCACGUUUUUUAUUUACUCGUGCUAUUUGGAUGCUUGAAAUAUUGUCAUUAUCCUUUCUUAAACAUUCCAUCAUCUGUUCUACGUUUUUUCAUAAACCUACAUCAUAAAUCCUACUUUUGAAAUAGAUCAAUGGAUUAGAAACUUAUACAUAAAUAAUAGAAUUAUUCACAAGAAUACAGGAAUGAAAUUGAAAGUUUGGAUGGAUAACACUAUUAUACUUUUAUUCUAAGAUCUCAAUUUUUGUUCAACAUUCUAAUAAACUUUUACUAUGGUUUUGGAACGAUAAUGAUAGAUCAAGAGUAAUAUUGUAACUUUUGACGAAAGAACGAAGCUUUUUUUUUUUAAAAAAAAAGAGGAAUUCAUAUAUAGAAUUUGUAAUGAAUAACAAAAUAUAAGUUAUGAUUGAGAGUUCAGAGUGAGUUUGGUAUUGUGAUAUUGACGUGACUUUUGUUUUUAGAGUGAGAUAUUUAGUUUCAAUAAUGCAAUUGUUGUUGUAGUGAGAAGAAGAAAAGUGUUGUGAAUAGAGAGAGGAGAUUGAAACACUAUAAAAUCAAGAUCAAUUGAUUUUGCGAUUUAUGUGUUUUGAUUGUUUUUAUAGACAAACUUCCCUUUGCUAAGUUUUGACAUUGUUUGAGGCAGUGAAAAUAAUAUGCAAAACUUUUCAAUUAUGUUUUGCUGUAGUUGGCUCUUAGCUUUAGCAGUCCAUUGAAGUGGGAAGAAGAAGAAAAGUCAUUGAAGAUCAAUUGGCUAUUUUGGAAAUGGUAUCUUUGGUCUUACACUACUUAUUGAAGAACUUGAGCAUGGAUGCCUGCUUAGUUAAUUGGAGUGGAGGUUGCUUAAGUUGCUCGGAAAUAAUAUUGAAAUCAAGUUUAGUAACACUUUCUGCCAUUUUUAAAAAAUAUAUUUGCUAAUGCGUUACCCAACAAUCUAUAUGUAAUUUUAUAUUUACAUUUUCCCUAUGUUUAUACCACACCAAACACAAUAAGUCUACAUAUGUCUUAUACAUGUUUGACAUUUUUUAAUAUAAGAGACUAUUGAUAUUGAAUUGAAAAUAUGAAAUAAAAUAAAUGAAAUCUUAACGUCGAAAUUAAUAAAUAAUAAAAACAAAAUUAUGUCAGUAAGAAAAAGAAUUUAAUAUUUCAAAUUUUUUGAAAUGAUUGUGAAAAUAUCUAAAGAAAUAAUUCCCAAUAUUUACGAAAUAUAUUGUGUAUAAAAGAUUUAUGAUAUAAAAAUCUCUAUAAAAAAUUAAAAAACUCAACUCUCUCUCUAUAUAAAAGAGAACUAUUAUUCUUAUUUAUGGAUUGGUUUGGUUGGGUUGGUCUAAAUAUCCCUAAACCGAACCAACCCAGCCGACAAACACCCUGCGGACCGGAUACACCUCUUUAUGGUUAAUUUUUCAAAUAUUUCAAAUGUUGUAACAUCAACCCUUAACUUCUGAAAUAUUACAUAAUUGCCACCAGGCUUAAGUUUCAACUCUCCAGAAAUCUCCCGCUAACUACUUCAGAAUUUUCGGACUUCAAUUUCUUUGUCAGCUUGCCGUUCCUCUAUUCGUCGCCGCCAAUCGACGGCACUGACGGGGCUCAACUCACCAACUCGUUUCACUUACAGCCGCUUUCGAAUUUCUUCUUCCCGUCGUUGUUCCGCCAUUUUUAUCAAGUUUAAUGUCAGCGCAGAUUUUAGCAAGAUAGGGUUGGGAAUCGUAGUGUACAAAAAUUUUGAAUAUGGGGGAGAAGCACGAGCUUGAUGCUCCGGUGAGCUCCAGACAGAUCGAUCUGAAGAAGUCCUUCAAGCUUGCUGUUCGUCCUCUCCUUACUUCCUGUUCCAGGGAGGUAAGCACGAAAUGAGAAUCUGCUAUGUGUAUAAUGUCUUGGAAAUGGUGUGGAAUUGGUACUUAGAAAUUCGAAUCUGCAUUCUGAGUGGGAAUUUGGUCAUGAUGUAUACUUUUUUAGGUUACUUCUAUAAGAUGCUAAAAUUUGUGUAGUGUUUUUUUGUUUCAAAAUUUAGGAGUUUCGGGAAUGCUUUUCGAGAUUUACGACUGCAGAGCAAGAUUAUCUUCAUCGUCUUUUCAUUCAGGUACUACUGUUCUGCUUUUGUAUGUUUUCUCUCAUUCUCACUGGGAGGCUGAGGUGAAAACGAAUUAGCAUCAUAUGGACAAAUUGGAGAUAUUGAGUUUCUUUCAGUACAAUUCUAGGACGUUUUCUUGUCUCCAUCCUUCUUAAAUUUGUUGCAUGCAGAUCCUAUACUGUCUUCAAUGGUUAGCAGCAUGUAAUUUGCUGCACAUCAUUUUUGAAUUUGCAUUGUUCUUAUUGCUUCUAGUCUCCUUGAUGAUGCAAUAAUGAAUUUUGGUGUUCAUCAAACUUGCAGGUUAUAACUUCUCUUCAUGGAAACAUAGAGGUAUAUUACUCAAGGUUUUUCUUCAUAGUCCAUCCUGAUAAUUGCAUUUUGGGAUUUUCUCAAUAGUGACGUGUGAUUAUGUUUUUUUUAAAAAUCCUUUUUCUCAACGAGGCACGUAAUGAGAUAAUGCUUAUUUUAUGCUUAGGCUUCCUGAUCUUCUACUUGGAUUACUUUUCUUAUUACCCAAUCAUCAUGUCACAGAAUAAUCAUCAUUAAGCCCAUUAGAUUGUCUUCUCCAAUUAUAUAUUAACUUUUAGCUUGGAAGUUUUCAUCUAGUGUUUUCACAAUGUAAGGUCCAGUUUAAGUUGACAAGCUCGCUGCUUGUCUGAUGACGGGGGCACAUUACUGGCCAUAUUGGACUAUAACUAGACACAUAGUUUAGAAUAGAAAUAAUAUAUAUUGUAAAUAGAAGAUUCCUGUACAUGCGAACAAUAAAUUUUAUUGCUUCUGUUCCUAAGAGUUGAGAAAUGGGAAAAGAGAAAAUAAUAUGAAAAAAUUGUUUUUGAUUUUCUUUCGGUAUAGUGCACUUUGCCUUGUCAGUAGGGGCAAAAUCUAAAAAGCAAUCCACCAGGUGCUUGUCAUAGACUACUAGUGCAGUCUCUGUCGCCCAUUGCUGCAGUGGGCAAUCUCUUAAAGCUUGUCUCAAAAUAAAUUCACAAUAAAAUUCUCUAUUUUUACGUUGUGUGGUCAUCAAUAGCAUUUGAUUUUAAUUCUCUUUUUACGUAUAGCAAUUUCUGGUCAAUAACAGUACCUUUAUCUGAAAUGUACAGGACGAGUUUGAGUCAUUAUGUGUUGAAACACAGGUAAUGCUCUUGUUUCUGUCAACUUAUUAUGCCCAGGUUUGUCUUCUUACUUCUUUUUUUAGUAUGUGCGUACACAUUCGUAUUUUAAGGUAUGGGCAUGACCCCUUGGAUAAGUUCAAUAUGAGUACAGGGGACCUUCAUUGUAACUAUUGAUAUAGCAGUUUUGAAAAACUUAACUUAGUUUGGAUGUGUCGGUUGUCAGAUGUCUGAGUUCAAAGGGGUGAUGGCAGGCUUCAAUUAAAGCAGAUAGAAAAACAUGAGUGAUCAGUAAGAAAUAGUGAAAAUUGGUGAAUUGGCAGCAUGAUAGGAACUGCGGCAUUCUAUAAUGUUUCAUGCUAUGCUAUGCAAUGAUUAUCUACAUUCUAAACUUCCGACUUUGUGUUACACGUACUUUGUAGUAGAUAAUUUUAAUAUGUUGAGAUUUGUUUAUUUGAAAAGCCCAACAAGUGGAAAUUGAUUUUAAUUGGGGAGGAAACGACAAUGCAGCAGCUUGAACACAUGACCACCUGCUCUGAUACCAUAUUGAAAGGAGAGACAACGAGCACACACCAAUUUACGUGGAAACCCGAGUACCGGGAGAAAAACCACGAUUGUUUGUUGUUAUUAUUUUCUAAUGAAUAAAACAAUAGGUACAAGGGAGAAUAAAUAGAGUAAUAAAACAAUAGGUACAAGGGAGAAUAAAUAGAGUAAUAAAACAAUAGGUACAAGGGAGAAUAAAUAGAGUAUACAAUGGAAUAAAAAAGGAAAAGAUUUAGGAAAAUAAGGAAAACAUUCCCAUAAUCUUUCCAUAAUUAUUCUAGGAUUCUUAACAAGGAAAAUAUCUAGAAAAAGGAAAGAAUUCCAACAGUUUGAAGUGGUGAUGUAUUGCUAGCCAUUUGUGUCUAUAUGCAGGUAACCUUCCCACUACCAUUGUGUCACUAUUUUCCUUGCAUUCUAACAGUUUUGCUUUAUCCAGGUGGGACUUGUAUUUGAUAAUGUUGAACAACUUUUGGAAGAGCAAGAUCUAGACCCAUUGUAUUCAAAGAAGUAGGUAUCUUCUGCUGCAGGGUUAUUUUCUUGAUCAAAUUUGGUGUUGUAAUUAGAUACAGGUUCAAAAGACACUUCUAAUCCUUUAACUUAUAUGGAAGCAACAAUUUUGUCCCUGAAUUUUACUUAGUAACAAUCUGGCCUGCACUUUCAAUUUUGAAACAAUUUAGUUCUCUAACUUUGAUAUGUCACAAUUUAGUCUUUGCACUUCAAAAUUUAUACAAUAACAAAUCUCAUCAAAUUUGAGUCCCAAUUUUUUCUUAUAUAAGGCUUAUUCUUGGCAGGUUAUGAAUAUACUUGGUUCCUAAUCAGUUAAUAUAUCUGCAUAUGAAAAAAUGUGAUUAAGUCUCAGUAAUUUUACAAAUGGGACCAAAAUAUGAUAAAUUUUAAAUACAUAGACUAAAUUGGUACAAAUUUUAAAUUACGGGCCCAUGUAGUGAAAAACUAAAGUUCAGCAAAGUUAAGGGACAGUCUUUUUGAAUCCUAAAUUUAUAGUAUUGAUGAAGAAUCUAAACAUCGUUUAAUGGGAUGGGAAGGGGCUUACACAGCAGGCUUCCGUAGGUUUUACAGAUUGAAUUUCUCUGGUGGAGUUAACAAAUGACAGCCUCUAAUGCAGGACCAAUAUAGUGGAAAUAUAUAAUUUUCUGUCCAUGACAAAGAAGGAGGAGAUCCAACACUUGAAGGACAUGCUAAAAACGGUGAGCAACACUUGUAAUUGUAACGCUUCUAAAUAAAACCAACUUAACUGAAUUUUUCUUCAUUGAUAAAUCUACCUAAUGGUAUUGUUUCCCUUUCCACGUCAAAACAAUAGUUUUAUGUUCAAUGGCCUAUUAUUUUCUAUGAUAUGAAUUUGAUACGAACCAGUAGGCAUUUAUGUUGUUUCUGUCACUAAGCAUGUAUCCUAACUAUUAGGUAAAAUGACUUAAUAAUGCAUUUGCUCUAGUGCACAUGUAGGCUCAGGCUUUGUUAAAGCAUAAUGCGUGAACUGCAAUAUAUUUGACCAAAGUGAACUUAGUUUAACGAUAAUUGGCAUGACAUUCCUCUCUAAAGGUUGAAGGUUCGAUCUCCCAUUCUCACAAUUGUUGUGUUAAAACAAAAUUGUAAUAUAUUUGAACACUCUUUCUUUUAGCUUGUAUUUUUUUACAUAAAUUGUAAUAUAUGUGCUGCCUUUUUCUGUAUGGCCUGAGCCAAUGGUUUAUGUGUGGAUUUACAAAGAUUUAUUAAUUAACUCAUCCACUAAAGUUCUCUUUUUACGUAAUUAUUUCUUAACAAAUAAAGUUGGGAAAUUUUCUUAUGAUUGCAAUUUUCCGUAGGCUGAGGAACAGAACUGGGUUAUUCAAGGCCGUAUUGAUGAUUUAAGGAAAGGAGUGCAAGAUGCCUCUGGCAUGGCAGAUGCUGUUAAAAAGGUGCCUUUUGUAUUUGGGGAUCUUUUCCCACCUCUUUCAAAUGGAUAAAUAAUUUGAAAAUGGUUGAUAAAGUAAAACAUGGCUGACUAAAGCGAACUUAUAUGGUUGGUUAGAUUAUUUUGAUCCGUCUAAAUAAAAUGUGUUGUACAAUUACAAUCUGCUUUGGGAAUUGCUUUUAUUAUGAAUUUUAAAGAGUAAUUAAGUAAAAAUCUUAACUGCUUUGAAUGUUUGAUAAGAUUUAUUGUGAGUGAAUUCACACAUUCAUUCUCACAGUUAACAAAAUUUAUUUCCUACACUCGCUUCUAAAAGUAAAUUUUUGCGUAGAAUCAACAAGUAUUUCCCAACAAUUUUUAGAUUCUCUACCAAACAUACUCUAAGGAAAUAAAACUCAAAGGCCUAGUUUCCAACCUUAACAGCUAACUGACUUGUAAACGCUUGCAGCUAAGAAACUAAUGCAGAUCUUAUGGAACUGAUGGUGUUAAUGAGACCUUCGAUAUACUUAACUGAUGCUGUUAAAUAGCAAGGUCAGUAUGUAAUUUAGUAGAUUAUACUUGGGUAGUUAUGUGUGUCAAUUUCCUCAGCUUAGCUCAAGCUUUAUAUUUACUUCUUAUUUCAUGUUUGCAAUUAUACAUGUUUUCUUCUGACUAAUGCAUACAAUCUAUCUUGUUGUAUCAAAGAAUUGUUCAAUGCCCCAUCAAGAAUUAGCUAUGUCGUUGGAACUCUAUAUUGCCCUUGUUUCUUUCUCCACUCUCUCUAGGGACAUUUUUUGUAGGCUUUAUCAUCCUCUUUGCAAUGAAGAUUGUAAUCACAAUGCAGUGGCAUCUAUCAAGCACAAACACUCUAUUUUAGGUAGAGUGCCUGACACGUAAGUGUGCAUGUCCUAUUUUUAUUUAAGAUAAUUGCAAUGAGUAUCAUUUUUAAUAAUUAAGUGCAUACGAACAUUUUAAAAAAAUUGCAACUUUAGUAAUGGACUCAAUCGUGGAUAGACUUUGAAAGUGCAUCUAGUUUUGGGUUUGAUUGUAAACUUGCAACUCUGGUACAAAUCCAUUUUUUAAACCAAGGAUAUAACAUAAACAUAAAAGACUGAAGUUUGAAUCCAAAACGUUUCAUCUCUUAUGAUUGAUAGUUAACUUGCAUUCCAUGCUUUUUUUAUGGAGGGGUAUAUUAAAAUACAUAUAUCUUAAAUAGAUAAUAACAGAAAAUAAAAUAAUGUAUCCCAACAUCUUAAGAUGUUUAUUUAUUUAUAAUUAGCGUAUAGGGGUGUGUUGUCCAGAUUCGUGUCCAUGCUUCUUUAGAAUGCCACAUGUAAAGAUUGGAUUUAGGUCUACUCAUGAUCCUUUGAAAUUUUAUGGAAAAUGUUUCUCUAAAUACAACCCAAGGAGGAAAAUAUAUUUUUUCUUUAUGCAAACAUUCCAAAGAUUGGAUAUUAUAUAUAUCCAAAGGUAGUGAUCGACUUUUUUAGGCAUGGUAAAACGGCAUGUUUGCCCACGAAAUGGUUUCUCUCAAUUAAAUUAAAUUAAGUGAUUGACAUUUGAAUUUUUCUAAAUUCAUGUUAUUUGUCACUAUUAGAUUGUAAUUUAGCAUGAUAAGUACAACCACGGUGUCAAAUUCAUUGAACUUAAAUUCAUUUAUUAUUGUUUGUUGGUAGAUUUGAGUCUCUUUUGAUUGAUGGUAUAUGCUAAUCAAUUAAGUUAUAUUUGUUGAGAUGUUGAAAAUCUCACAUUAGGAGAUUUACAUCUAUAGGUGCACUAUCUUUGUUGCAAAUUAGUUUUGAGAUAGAAUUCAAUAUUAUCAUAUUUGGUAUUAGAGUCUAUCAAGUUUAAAUGGGUAUUCGGUCUAAGAUUCACCUUGGAAAAUUGUUUUAUAUAAUAAAAAAAUUUAUUUAAAUGGUAAAUGUAAGUGAAGUAUAAAGAAUUGAAAAAAUAAGUGGAUUUUGACUAUAAACUUGUUAGCCUGUAGCAAUUUUGGAUUGCAACUACCAAUUUCAUCACAUGUGACUCCAAAAUAGUCAAAUAAGCAUCGUAGUAUUUUGGUUAAUUCCAUUUUGGUUAAUUUGCUCAAUAUUUUUAAACGGAAAUAAUAUAAUCAUACUAUAAUAAAGAUUAAUUCAAAACAAGUUUGAUGAAUGCACGAAUCAACCAGACAAAUAACUUUCCCAAUAUUCAUAAAUUUCUAUACAAUCGUAAAAUUUUAAAGCUUCUAAUUGUUGGAAAAUGAGCAUAGCACAAUCUAUAAUAGACAUGAAUAUUUGUUGUGCUUAAAAAAUGUUACAAAAUCAAUUAAUUUCAAGUUGUUAUCUCAUAUACCAAUAGUAAAAUAAGGGGUUGUUUGGAGGGUGGAUUGUGAUGUAAAAAAAAGGUUGGAUUGAAAACUAAAAUUGUCCCAAUGAUAUGAGUUUAGUCUCAAUUCAAUUACAAUAUUUUUUUAUUUUAUUACAUUUCAAAGACAUUUUAUUAUAGUUACCAAACAAUGGGUUGAUAGUUAUUAUAGCAUUUAAUUUGAUUCUUGAUGAUGAUUAUCAAUUAAACCAAGGGUACACUUUAUUCUAAACACGUCAAACUCAAAAGUGAGCAAAGUUUAUAUGGCAAUUGACGUCAAUUUAACAUCAAUCUAAGGGAUAAGAAUUGACAAUACAAGAAAAUAAACAACUGUCAAGUGUCAUGUAUAAAUAUGAUAGAAAUUUGUUUAAAAAAGGUAAAAUAUUUAUUUCUCAGUAAUUAAAAUACUUUUUAGAUAUUUUUAUUGACAUUGACAUUCUUUCCACAUUUCUAUUAACAUUCUUGUAAAAAUAGGACUUCAACAUUUCUCUCGACAUCGUCAUUGAGUGAGCCUUGUGUAUUUGUUUAUAGCAUUUAAGGACAGUGAGAAAGGGAGAACCAAAUAACAUUUGGAUCAAUAAACAAUAUGAUUAGAGUAUAGUUAGUUGAUUAAAUUAGAAAUUGAAUUAUUAAAGUGUGAUGUAAUAAUUAAUGUAUAAUUGAAUGAGGAAGCUAAGUUUGAAAUUGAUGACAAAUAAUGAUUCAAUGCAACAAAAUGUCAAAAACAAAAACUUGCCAUUGAAGAUGACCAGACAAUCGUAGAAGAUUUCAUAGAAGGAAGCUCCAUUACGAUAAUACAAAUUAAAAGUCAAAUUUAUAGUUGAUUGGUCAUCACUUCCAAAUCUACAAAAUUAAAAAACAAAAAUCAAUCCUGUUUUUGGGUGAAUGAGUUGUACAUAUAUAAGUCUUCUUAUGACUUUUUUUAGGGAAAAAAUUAUUAAUUGAAGUGAAAUCAAAGCAGUGGAUUCUGUAAGAGAGUUGUUUUUAUAUUUUACUUAAACACGUUUCAAUAGUUGUGAUUUGAUAUAGCCAAUCAAUUAAUUACUUUAUUCACUAAGUUAAUUGAAACAAAAUGUUAAAAAUAGUUUAAAUAAAGCUCAUAAAUGUAUAAAAUGUUGGUAUUCAUAGAAAUGCCAGCUUCAAAUUUACAAAAGUAUUUAUAUUGAUGUUGAAAUUUAGAUAACUUACCCGUCAUAGAUAUAUGUUUUUAAGAUAACAAUGACCUAAAGUAUGAUUAUUAGAGGCCAUUACCUAUUGGGUAAAUAUAAAUGAAAUAUUACCAAAUAAAAAAAAAAGGAGAGUUAAUGUAGUUUGAGGAAAUGAAAAAUUAAAAACCCAAAUAGUAAAGAUUGAAGAAAUUGGACAAGUUGUGGACAACUUGAUUUAAAAUUGUUUAUAUAUAUAGAUAUGUAUGUAUGGAUUGAAAUGGAAAUAAUAACAAUAAUAAUAAAGAAAGAAGCAUGCAAUCUUUUAUUGUAUUGAUAUGAGAGAUGGAAGCCACGAAUCAAAGCCAAACCAUUUUCACUUCCUCCCGUGGCGCCAUGUGUCACCCUUACUAUUUGUUUAUCAUAUUUCGCUUACUCUCUCCCACUAUCUUACCUUAACUUUACAGCUACUAAAUUAUAUCAUAUCAUUUUCUCUUCUCUUCUUUCUUUUUUAUUCAUUUUAUGUUACUCAAUUAAGUUCUAAGGAAAGGUAUAAAACACCAUUAUUAUUUGGAACAACAUUUAUGGUUUAAGGUAUGUUAUUCGAACUAACUAAAGUUUAUGUUGAAAAUCAUAUAGUCUAGAGAUUAUCUACAAAUUGAUUGUGAAUCAUGAAAAUAAAAUUAGCAUUUACCACCUUCACUACCUUUUAUUUGAAAAAAUAUGAUGUGAAACAUUAUAAGCACAUCAUUAAACUUUCACACUUUUCAUAAGAGAAUCAAGUUUGAGUCUCAAUCAAAAUUUUCUUCGAGAAUCAACUAAUUUAAUCUUCACUUUUCUAAAAUUUACGUACAUUCGAAGAAGUCUACACGAUAUAAAAAUAAUUAUAAAAAAUAAUAAAAAGUAUCUAAAUAGAUCGGUUUAUAAAAAUUUAAGAAUUUAAUUGAUACAAAUUUAUAAGUUUCAAACUAUUUAUAUUUUGUCAAAUCAAAUCGGAACGAAGUGUAACCUUAAUAAUAAUUAUAAAAAAAACCUUAAAAUUAUAAAUUAUGUUUUUAAUAUAUAUGUAUAAAUGAUUUGAAGUAUUUAAAACGAGGAAAUUAAAGAAAAUUGUAUUGAAUUUUAUGUCAAAGUGAAACUACAAACUUAUGUCAAAAAUGUAUAUGCUAAAUUGACGAGUUUAUAAUUAAUCAAGAGAAGAAAAAUGAAGAAUGUAAAGAGACUAAAUGGUAAUUAAACUUUAUAUAUUUAUUUAUAAUAUGAAAAAUGUAAUUGGUAUCUCAAUAUUUAAAAAUAAAAAAUUAUUGAAGGGAUUGGGAAACAAAGUCAACGAAAGCAGCUAGCAAAGGGUUAGUAAAGUAGUUUGCACAAAAGUCCCAAACCCUUUAAUCCCCAACACAUGAUGGGGAUGGAAAAUUGCUCCCAUUCACAGCAAUUUUAAAUAUCUUUCCUUUACUAAAAUCCGAUUAAUAUAUGUUUUAUUGAUGUGUCUGAUACCAUAUUACAAUAUUUAAAACGAUAAGAGUUAGAUAUCGAAUAUAAUCUUCGUCACUAAAAGAAGAAUAUAUCAUGUCAAUUAUGAUUGAGUUAUAGUCGACAAGUAACAUUUUCAAGGUUUGACUUGUAAUUGUUGUAUACAAUUCAAGUACCAUGUAGACUUUCUUUUACAAAAGCAUGUUAAUUAAUUCAAUGGUGUUUCUUCAAAAGAGAUUUUGAUCUAGUUAUUGUUUGAUGUUAGUUUUUCCAACAUAACAGGAAGGGUAUGGACCAUCUCUCUUUCUGGACUGCAAUUUUCCAGUCUCCUUUGGUCCCGACUAGUUAAUCACUACAGUUGCGAUGGGGCAAAAUGAAGAAAAGCUUUGCAUGUAUGUAGAGUCAAAAUCUCAACUCUUAGAAGAAGAAUUAUUAUCUUCAACUCAUCUAUUGCUAUUAUGUGGACUUUUUGGUGUGAGAAGAUACUCACAACCAUCCCCACAAAUUAAUUAUGAGAAGAUACAUGUAACAUAUUUUGGGCUUUCCUCUAGUCUUUUUGUAAUGAUUUGUUCCUUGUAUUCUAUGAUCAAUAUAUUUCAUAAAUUAGAAUAUUAUGAAAGUGUUAGGUAAUUUGUGUAAACCUAGUAGGUUGGGUUAAUCCAAUGCAUCUAUUGACACACACUUUGUAUCUUUUUUCAAAAACUGUGGAACCCCUCCCUAACAUUACAACCACUCCAACUUUUUUCUAGUUUUAAUAUUUGAACUUUUACUUAUCCAAUUUAAUAUUUUUACCAUAUUCGAAUUUUCUGUAGAGUGCAAGAAAUUAACAUGAUUUAGCAUUUUUUUCCUUUUAUUUAUCUUAAAUAAACGCAAAUUCAAAUAUAAAACUAAUAUAAAUUUUGGAUUCAGAGAUAUUUGAGAUAUUUGCAUUUGAAUACUCAAUAAUUAGACCAAACAUAAGGCAAGUCACGUGGCCCUUUUCCAUUGGAAAUACAGAAGAAUCUAUUUUAGUAUAACAUUCAUUUUUGAAUAAAUAUAAUAGUCAUUACAAAGUCAAACCUGAGAGAAAGAGAGAAUUUAAAUUCCCUAAUAUAUAUAUAUAUAUAUGUAUAAAUACAUAAUAACUAAAUUAAAAAUUGUUGUAUGUGAAAUAUUCAAAAGGGUUUUAUAGGGUUAGAUGAGAUGAGUUAUUUGCAACCUUUGAAGUCAACACGUCAUCGUCAUGUUUGGCUGUCUUCUUCAUUAUUCCACUCAUUAAUACUAUAUAUAUAUUAACCAAAUAUUCACUGCAUCAACCAACCCCUUCUUUCCAUUCUUCCUUUUCAACUUUUUUUUCUCUACUUAAUAUCAUUUCUAAUCUUUUCUCUUCUUUUUAUUUUAACCACACACUAUAUAUCAAUUUUUUUAACCUAUAUAAACACACACAUAUAGUAAGUUAAACGUAGAUCUUUGGAUAUUUAUUGGUUGAGUAGAAUUCUAGAAGGUUUAACUAAUGGAAUAAAACAUUUAAAAGAAGAUGAGAAUAAUAUAAGAAAAUACAUCAAAUAAAUACAAAUGCAAGUUGAAUCAAGUUCAAAUGAAUUCACUUGUAUAUAUAUAGUUUUAAAAAGUCGUUAAGACUCGAUUUAUGAAUCAACCUCUUUAUAGAUUAUGUGAAUAGAAAAAGAUGGAAGAAGUUGAGGUUACCAUGUCCCACUGGGUAUUUGAAAAUUAAGGUCAUGAAGGGUAUAUAUAAUAAAUAAGUCAAACUCACAAAAGAACAAGGAAAGGAAAAAAAAAAAAAAAAAAACUCAUAAUUGAAUGACUAUGGAUAUCUAAAUAUUCAAAAGGAAAAUAGGAACAAUGGAUACUACAUAUGUCAUUACCAAGUCGUAAAACAAACUUUUAUUAUGAUAUUUAUUAGCCUUGCGGCAUUUUUAUGGUUACAGAAGAAAAAAAAAAUGGUAUGUAAAAGUAAAUACAUCAAUCAUUCCUUGAGGACUUUUCCUCUUCAUCUCAUGAAAAUUUGUAAGCUUUAAAAAAAGAAAGAAUAAACCUCAAAAAGAUUAGAACCGUUGAUAUAUAUUUUCUUUUUAUGGAGAUAUUGUUGUGGGUGAAUUGGGGUUUUAAAGUAUAUCCAAAUCUAUAACUAAUAAUGACUCUCUUGUGAGUCAGAAACUGUCCCCUUUUGCCCAAAAUUCAAGGUGCCUUUUCCUCUUUUCCUCUUAACAAAAAACACAGAGCAUUUCCACUGUUUUUCUCUUUUCUUUUUCUCUCAUUUUAAUCACUCAUUUUCCUCUUCCUCUUCUUCUUCUUCUUCUUUUUUUAAUUUAGAAACUCAAAAUCUUGGAAAAUUCUUGUUUUUUUUUGGGGGGGUUUAUUUCUGUCCUUUUGUAUUUACUUCUUGAGAGAGAUUCUAAUUGGAAGGCCAUUGAGAGGAAGUGCAAAAGGACCAUAUUGAAUCCCUUCUUGUUCACCAACUACAUUCCACCUACAUUAAUUUCAAGUUCAAGAAAACAAAUUAAUCACUAUAAUUAAUAUAAAAAUAUGUAUGUAUGUAUAUAUAUAUAUAUUGUUUCAAUGGUAAAAAAGAAAUGAAGGUACCUAAAUUUAGUGGUUAAAUGAUGGAGUAGAACCAACAUUUCCAGCUUGGCUAAUUCAUUUCCUGGACAAGAGUGGGUCCCAUUGCCAAAUGGCAUGUAUGUAUUGGGUUUCUGAGAAACCUGUUCCAAUCAUAUCAAAACAAUCAUUGAAUUUUUGGCCUUACCAAAAUUGUAUACAAUAUGGGAAAUUUCUUUUUUAUAUAUUAAAUAAUAAAGUCCAACAAUUUCCAUCAGAAUCAUUUGUUUGUGUUUUCUAAAUGAAGUAACUAAAAGCAAUAAUUAAUAUAUAUUGUCCUUUUUUUUCUUUUUUUACCUCAAAUCUUGAUGGAUCAAAUUUUUCAGGUUGAGGGAAAAUUUCUGGGCUGUGAUGAAUGUUUCUGAAUAAAGGCAAAACUUUCCAUCCUUUUGGAAUUAAAUAUCCUGCAAAUUAAGAAAUUUAGAAGGAAAAAAGGUUAAGUAAAGAAAAGGGUUUUUAAUUUGGUUCAUAAUUUAAAUUUAACUUUUUUGGGUUUUCUUUUACUUACCAUCAAAUUCAACAUCUUCCACUGCUUCUCUAAAAGUAAACGAUAGAACUGAAGCCACUCUUAGAGUUUCUUGAAUUACUCUUGAAGUUAUUGGCAUAUUUUUGGUGUCAGCCCAGGUGAGAUUGUCAUCUCCAUUUUCUUUUGAUUUCACUAUUGAUUCUUGUUCAGCCUACAUGCCCAAAACACAGAGGAGAGUCAAAUUUCUUAACUUUUUUGAAAGAAUGAAGUGGGAAUUGGUUAUGAAGUUUAGAGAUGAUUCUUACUGUUACAGCUUGAAGAAUACUUGGGUUCUCUCCUAGGUAUUUCACGAUCCAUGUUAGAACACUCGCGGUGGUGUCGCGGGCAGCGAAGAUGAGACCUAUGACGUUAUCGGCGAUUUGUUUGUCGGUGAGGCCUUCUUUUUCGCCCAUGAAAGAUCCAAGGAGGUCGUCGUACUCCCGCUUCGUUUCCCUUCUUGUCGAGAGGAUUUUGUUUAGUAUUUCUGCUAGCUCUUUCCUUGCUUUCAUGGCCUUGUGGAAGAGUGUUCCGGGGAGGUUAAUCGGCAUCGAAUUGUAGCCAUUUUCAAGAAUGUAGUAGCAUCGCUUGAGGUCUUCGAAGUAAAGAGCUUCGUCUUUUCCGAAUAUCGAAAGUAACGAAACCUCGAAUGCGAACUAAAGAAGAAUAGAAAGAAAGAUCAGCUAAACACACCAAUUACUCUAAAUGGGGAUAAGGAAAACAGAGUUUUUUUUUUUUUUUUUAAUCUAACAUAAACAGAGAUGCUCUGUUUUUAAACGUACCAUCUUCAUUUCUUGAAAGGUAUUAAUCAAUUGUCCAUCCCAUGAUUGAACGGUGUUUUUAGCAAUGGAUUCGAUACUCGGAACGAUGUUCCGAAUCGCCUCAGGCAUGAAAGUUCGAAGAACAAGACGUCUCAAUUUGGCAUGGUAAUCACCUUGAUGAAAAAAGAUAGCAUUUUUUCCCAACAUCCUCUCUUUACUAGCUGGAAAUGUAGGCUUAAAGAGAUGAGCUUUAGUCACCAAUACAAACUUAACAGCUUCAGGACUAGAAAGCAUCACACAAGGAUAACCCAAUAUAUGUGACUUAAAAAUUGGACCAUAUCUGCAAAAAAAAAAUCAAAACAACACAAAAUUCAUCAAAAACCCCCUUCAAUUUUUUUUUUUUUUUAAAAAAACCCAGAGUUGAAAAAAAAAAAAGCGACCUCUUCUUUUUGGAAGCGAAGAAGACAUUGGGAUCUUGAGAGUAGAGUUGGAGGGUCUCACCCAAAUAGGGCCAACCCAUGGAACCAGGGGGAAGGGGAAGUUUCCGGCGAGAGGGAGCAGAGAAUUUGAAAAGAUAAUGGAAGAAAAGAAGGAAGAAGAAGGCUAGGAGGGAGACGAAGACGUACAUGGUUAGAAGUAGUAGGAGUUGUUUUGAAGGAAGAAAAAAAUGGGAGAGGAAAAAUAUAAGGAGGAUGAAGAAAGAAAGUUUUAAGAAAGGGGUAUAUAUAGUGUUUUGUGGAAUGAGUUAAAAAGAAAAGGAAAGAAGGAAGGAGGAGAGAAGGGGAGGAAACAGAGAAAACAGAGGAAAGAGGUUUUCAAUACAGCUCAAGGCGCACACACACGGAAUCUCCUUCCAGCUCAUACACUUCUCUCUCUCUCUCAACUCUUUCUACUUCUAACAAUUCCCUUUCUCUCUUCUUCUUCUUCUUCUUCUUCUUCUUUUUUUUUAUUUUAUUUUAUUUUAUUUUACCAAAAGGAAUGAACUAGUCGGACGUUGAUUCGAAAAUAUGUUAAGUAGAUGGAUAGAUAGUGGUGAUAUGGGUGACAAUCUCCCAUGUCUCAGGCUUCCAGUUUCGCUUACAAACAAUAUGGAAAAAUUACAAAAACCAUCUUUAUCAACUAUAAUCUUUGUUAUAACCACACCAAUAAAAAAAAACAUCCAUUACUUCCUCUAGUUAGUUAAAUUUUAGUAUUUACCCUUGUUAGGAAAUUAUAUUAAAUUUCAUAAAUAUUAAGGUAUGAAUAGUAUAAUUAGGACGAAAAAUAUAUAGAAAAGAAAAAAAAAUAAAGAAGAAGAAGAAGAAGAGUAUAGUGUUUUAAUUAUGGGAAGAGAGAAGGAGAGAAGGAGAGAAGGAAAGGAAGUUAGAGAGCACGUGUCCGAAGGCAAAAGGGCUACAAAAAUAGCGUGUGGGGAUCCUCAAAUAUUUUAAUUUGGUUAGAUAAAGAGUGGCGCUACUGAUUAGGAGAGGUUACAAUUUGUAAUCUACAUUCAUUUUCUUAUAUAAAUUAAAUGUCCUUUGGCUCAGACAAAAGGGGACUUUGUAUUAUAAAUAUUCAACAAACUUUACUAUUUUUUAUUUUUAUUAUUACUUUUCUAUACACUCACUAAUCAUACUCUUAUUAACCUUAUUCUUCAUCACCUCUUCACCUUCUUUUCUAUUCAUUCUACACUCUCUCACCAACCUUUCAAUCCACUUUCCACUUUCAUAUAUUUUCUUUUUCAUUUAUUCUGACUAUAUUUAUAACAUAUACAUAAGUUAAAUAUGAGUAUAUAAUCCUUUUAUAUUCUACAAUACGUAUAUAUACAUAUACAGCUUAUGCAAUCUAUCUACGUGUCUUUAAUGAAUAGUUUUUUUAAUUGACAAAUCUUUUCUUUUACUUUAAAAAAGAAUCGAUGGAAUACACGCUAGUUUUAUUUAAAAAGUUUCAUAAAAUUAUAAAUAUAGACAAAAUGUUUCACAAGAAUAGGAGAGAAGGAGAUAUAGGUCAUGUGUUGGAAGUAGUCAUAUAAUUAACAUUUUUUUAAAGCAAUACUAACAAAGUCAUCUUUUGUGUGGGAUUUGUUAAUUGUUUCACAAUCUCCUCAUGAACUUUUUAAUCCUAUCAACUUCAACCGAAAAAAAAAAAAAUCUUAGAUGUGUGUGAGAGAUAGUUAGAUCAUGCAACCAAUUUUCUCUCUUUUUCUUUGAAAUUGUAUACAAUUCUUGGAUGUAAAGUAUUUUAAAAAGCAUAACUAAUUUAACAAUUCCGUUUAGAUAGAAUCAACAAAACUUCAUUUUUAUCGAAACUCUCGUUUUUAUAGAGGCGAAAAUAUAUCUUCAUACAAAAUGAAAAUAGUAUAGAUGUUGGUUAAUUGAUAUACAUCAAAUUAAAAUGUCUAAAUUUAAUGGAUAUGAUAAUGUCAACGUAUAUUUUGAAAAAUAACGAUGUACUUUUUAAAAAUUUUACUCGAUAAGUUUUAAUAAAUAAUAAUCAAUCAUCAUAUUAUGAGUAUUUGUAUAUUCGUUUAGUUGACAACUUUUUUUUAAAAAAAGAACACAAUGUAUAGUAUGUUUUUCAAAGAAAGCAAAUAUUACAACUUCAUCUCCAAGUCGUCAAACACAUCAAUUUAUUAAAUUGUUUCAACACAUCUCAAUCAUUCAAAAAAAAAAAAAAUGAAAUGAAAAGAAAAGCUCUACAGCCAUAUAAUUCCAAAAACUUAUGGGUUAAUUAUGAUGUUAAACAAACAGGCAACAACUCAAGUGUGGAAAUUAUAUAAUUUCAUCAAACCCUUAUCCAAUUAGCAUGCAUGCACAACUAACUAAUGUAGUUGACUUUUGCUUCUUCAAUAAUGGAAAUUAAUUAUGCAUAUUUGAGAGUCAAUAUAUUAAUUUAUAUUAGCCCUAAAUUUAAUUAAGAAGUAGUGUUCAUUGUCAAUUCAAUGAUUUUUCUUCAUUCAUAUUCAUGAAAAAGAGGGUUUUUUUUUUCCCACUACUAAAAUAAUAGUUUUAUUAGAGACUUCAAGUCUUUAAUAUUUUAUGUUUUCCUUUUAGAACAUCAACUUGCAAGAUUUCAUUCAAAAAACUCUUUUAUGCAUUGCUUUUGUAUUUUAAUUAAUUAUAUAUUCAUCGUUCAUCUAAUAGAUAUCCAACAAUUUCUUCGCUAUAUGUCGUUCAGAAUCAAAAGAUUUGUAGUUCAAAUUUCAGUUGACAUCAUUAUUUGUACUAACAAAACUAUGCACUUUUCGUUUGACAAACAAUAACCAAUUACUUCAGUUUUAGGGUUAGGAAAAAAAAUCCUAUACUCUUUUCCUUUUGUGUCACAUGACAAAGAAUGAAUUUCUUCACGUUUAGGAGUAGAAAUGUGAGGCUCAAAUAAUUGAAGCUAUUGAAAAUUAUUCCAAAUGAUAUAGGUACAAAUACGCUUAUCUUCUAGAUAUUAAAUACGUAAUAUGUAGAAGAACAUAUCUCGAUCGAGAUAACGACUACGGUCAUUGUAUUGUAUCUAUCUAUCACACUGACUAAUCUAUAUCUAAAUCUUUUGUAUAUCAAAGUGGAAAGAAAAGUAAAAUAAUACAGUCUUCUACAUUGUACGCGCAAUUCACUUGUAUUAUGUAAUUUACUGAUGUAUGAGCCUUUAAAUGCUCAUAAAUAAUUGAAAGGUGACGACCUAAAUUUAUUUGCCCGCAAAAUAAAUGCUAACUCCCAUCCCUUGAAAUUCAAAGGACAACUCUCUCCCUCUCACAAAUGGUGAUGAAUUUUGCCUUUGUGCAUUUAUGAAGGCUAAAAGCAAGUGUGUGUAGUAGUUGCAUCUACCUCCAUCAAGUUUGACCCAUAUGGAAAAAAUGUCAAUCUCUUUGUAUUUGGACUAAUUUAUUGCAACUCCUCUAUUUCUUUCUUUCUUUAUAUAUAUAUAUAUAUAAAUUGUGGUGUGAGGGAAAGAAAGGGUUUCCAUUAUUAUUACUAAUUAAAGAGAAAAAUUAAAGGAGUUCAUUCUCAUACCUUUGAUCUUAUUAUUUUCAUCUUUGACUUUUUUUUUUAAAUACUUUAUUUUUAUUUCUCAACGUUAAUUUCAAAUAUUAUUUCAUUUUGGUUUUUAAUGCAUUUUUUCAGUAAUUAUUUACUAAAGAAAAUUGAAGUCAAAUUGAAAUCAAGUACUGUUUAUGGUCUACAUGUGUAGUUUUAAAUAUAUUUUCACUUAAAAUCUUCAUUCAGUCAAAUAUAAAAUAUGUGCCACAUGCAAAUUUCCAACAAUAAAAUAAUCUUUUGAAAAUUUUAAAAUUAAUAGGUAGGAUUAAAAUAAUUUAUUUAAUACAAGAUUAAUUAAGGAGACAAAAUAUAAGGUGUGGAAGUAUUAAAGUAAAUAAAAUAGAAUAAAAAUAAACAGACAACAUGAGCCUUUGUUUAAGUGUAUUAUUUAGUCUACUUCCAUUUUUCUACUUAUUUUCAAAUAAUAAUAAUAAUACACCAAAAAAAUUAGGAACAAAGUUAGAUUUGAGAUUUGUUAUUUUAGGUUUCCAUGUGCAUUUUGAUCAAUUUGGUAUGUAUACUUUAAAAUGUUUCAUUGUUUUUGUUAUUUUAAACUCUCUAAAAAAAGAAAUUAUUAUAAAUGGCAAAAAUACUAAAAUUAGAUUUUAGAUUCUUUCUAAAAUUCUAUUUAAUGUUUAUUUUAAUAUUUUGAUUCAUCCUGUUGUUUUUUAAAAUAUCUCUGUAUUUAUUAUGGUAAUUGUUUUUUUUUUUUAAUUUGUGUUAAACUUAGUGAAAAGUUUCUAAGUCUAAAUUUUUUUCUAAAAAAUGUGUACUGUUGAUGGAUAUUCUAAAAAACAUAUUGAAUAUUUUUUUUCAUAAAAAAACUAGACUAAUUAUAAACAAACCUAAUCUUUGUCCUCAUUUGGACAUUUUUAAUUAAACUUUUAAAUUUUAUUUAAAAAAAACUUCAUUUUUUCGUAUAUAAAACUUAAUCCUAACUUCGAAACAUUUCUAAAAUGUAAAAGAUAAAAAUAAAAGAAUCUCGUGAAAAAAAUGUUUGUUUGUGUUUCUUUUAAUUCAACUCGAAUUUGAACUUCAUCGUUUAUUAUUAUUUUAUUUACAAUUGCAUUACAUUCUAGUGGUAAAAAAAGAUAAAGUUAUUUACAAGUAUCUGUAGACUAAUUAUAAUCAAAUUAAAGAAAAUAUUGAUGUUGGUUUCAAACUUUUAUUAUAAUUAUCUUUCACUAUCUAUCUAAUAAUAUGAAUUAAGUUGACCUUGAUUAAACUAGUUAAAUUAGUUAAUUACUUGGCCAUAUGUAUUAUGUAAUUAUUACACCAUGAUAUGAUGAUGUUUUUUGUUCUACCUACUUUUUUCUCUCUUUCAAAUUAACCUUUUGACUUUUCCUCAAUUAAAUGGAAAAAGUUAGAAAUGAUUAAUCACUAUACUAAUUUUGAAAUUUUCCUCUCUUUAAUAUUAUUUUCAUGCAUGCUUCUCUUUUUCUCCAUAUACCUAAUUUUCAAAUAUGAUACACUUAUGUUAAAUAAUUUUUAUUAAAUUAUAAAUUUAAUCUAUCAACUUUUUUUUUAUUAAAUUGUGUUUAAUAAAAUCUGACUUUCAAAAGUAUCUAAUGAUCCUUUUUAAACAACAAAAAUAAAUUUGUUAAAAUUCACAAACUAAAUUGAUGAAUUAAACCAUCACAACUCAUUUCUCUAAAUGGUACAUAUUGUCUAUUUUAGAUUAUAUAUAUAAACCCUAAUAACUUUACUUUAGUUAUUUACCCAUAACAUUAAAUACUUUCCAAAAUUAUCUAUUUAAUUAGCCAUCAAUAUUCUCAAACCCAAUUUGUAUUUAAAAAAAAAAAAAAAUUAGCAUUUGUAACUCCAAUAAUUUUAAAAUCAGUCUCUACCUAAUCUAACUUUUAUUGAAAUUGGUAAAAUAAUAACAACAACAACAAUUUUGCUUUAAUAUAAAAGACACAAUGUGAAUAUGUUAUCAAGAUGUUUCAAAAGAAUCAUAGUUCCAAAAAGUCAUCAAUAAGCUAACCAAAAAGACAAAUUCUAAAUUUAAUUAAAAGUUAAAAAAAAAAAAAAAAGAAGUAAGAAUGUAGACAUUUAUUUAAAAUUAGAAAUAAGAAAAAUGUAAUAUUUAAAAUUAAAAAGUAUUUAAGGAAAACAAAUUUUUGGUAUGAAGAAAAUGUGGGGAGAAAAGACUGAAAAGUUUGUAGGGCCCUAAAGUCAGCAGUCAUAAAUAAGAAACAGUCAAAUGAAAUAUAUAUAUAAAAAUUGAAUAAAUACAGAGUUUCUGUUAUAUUUCUCAGUCAUAAUUAGUAUAGAUUCAUAAAACAAAUAAUAAUAAUAAUAAUUUAAAAAACUUCUUUUUUUUUAAUAAAAAAGUACAGAAAUUUGUACAACAAAUAACACACCUGCAUGUUAUGUGCCAAAUCCAGAGAACCUAAGCCACUUGUCAUCAUUUUUAUAUUCUUUAUUCUCUUUCUUUUUUUCUUUUCAUAAUUUUUGUUUAUGUAUAUAUAUAUAUAUAUAUAUAUAACUUAUAAUUUGUGAUUGCAAUGGGUAUGUACAAGGGAAGGAAAUUACCCUAAAAGGCUCUACACUGCCAAUCAAUCUAACUUAUCAUUUAUUUAAUUUAUUUUCCUCUUUUCAAUUUCACUAAUCAAUUCACUACAAACCCCUCUUAAUUUCCUCUUACUUAUUUCUUUCUUGAGAAAAAACACUAUCAAUAUUAAUCUACCAGGAUACAACCAAGAUACUAUACUAAUUUACUUAUUUAACUUGAAAGCAUUUAAGAUGAUGUGCGAACUUGUGAAGGUAAAUUUAGUAUCAUAUUAUUUUACUAUUUGAGAAAAAAAAAAAAAAAACCUAUUGCAUUAAUUAAUUCUUCCAAAUGUUUUAUACCCUCUCCUCUAUCUGUAUUAAUUAAUUCAUUUAUUCAUUCAUGAAAUCAUUACUUUUUUUCUCUUCUAUCCCUCCCUAAUUUCUUCUAUAAGAUUUUAGCUAUGGUACUAAGAGUCUUUGCUCAAACCAUAAAUGGAUUGUACUAAAAAAAUCUCUUUCUAAAAUCGUUCUAAUGAAUGUUUGUGUUUGUUUUUCUUCUUCUUAUUAAUUUACUUCUUGAUGGUCAGCUGGCUAACUUCUUUUCAAUGGAUUAAGGUAGAUGUAUGUUGUCAACCUUUAAAGGUAAUAUAUUUCAAUAAAAGUGUUUUUUUUUUUUUCUAGACCACAAUAUUUUUUACAAACUAGGUUUUUAAAAUUAAAUAUUCUAUACACACUACUCUAUUAAUUGAUAUUAGUUUCUUUUACCUUUUAAUUUCAUUUUACAGCGUCAACUAUAGGAGUCUAAUGAAUUGAAGUUUGAUUUAAAUAAUACUUUCAACUUCUGUAUAUUUUCUCUAUUUCACUCGUUAUUUCAUACUUUUUAGUUAUUUGGUUCAUUUAUUGUAAAAUAUUUUCACAUGCACAGUAAAAACCUUUAAAACAAUUUUAUGGCUACAUUUUAUUGAAAUUAAAUUUAGUCAACAUAGUGUAAUAUAUACUAAAGAUUUUGAUAGAAAAAUCACGAAAUAAAAAUAAAAAUGAAAGAACAGAAUUGAUCGUUUCAUUUUUAAGAAGCUGGAGAACCUUACAAUAAUUUAUGUGGUAAAUUAAUGAAUUAAUUUAAAGAAAAUUGGGGAUGAGAAUGAAUAUUUAGUUGAUAAAAGUGAUUGGGAGAUGCAUAAAAUUAAACAUGGUGCAACAAAACGUCGAACCGACACCAUAUUGACAGAAAUUCUCCGGUGACCCAUUGUAGUUAGAGACCCAUCCAAUCAUUCUCUUCAAAAUAUUUGAAUGGAAAAAUUCAAUAUGAGACAUUUGGAAAGACAAAGAAGAAGCAUCCAAGUUUUUUUGGUUGGGUGUUGAGAGACAAAAUUAAAGCCCUUUCAUUAGACAAAAAUGAGGUCAAAUGUAACCUAACCCUCCUUACCCUAUUUUUAUUUAUAUGUGUGUAUGUGUAUAUAUAUCAUAAAUAUUGGAGUCAAGUCAGGACAAAAUGAAGAAAAAUCAAAUUCUUGAAUUUUUCUAAUCUCUUACCAAAGAAAUUUGACAUACUUUCUAAGUUUUGAAAUUUUGAAUACGAGAAUUACUUUAAAAUUAGAGCCAAUGUAUUUGAAUUUCUAGAUAGAUUGAUUUAAGACUUUGAAAGGAAGGAAAAGUAUUCAUAUAUGGUAAAUAUAGAAGAGAGAGUACAAUUUUUGUACACUAGGAAGAGUAGUGUAAUAUCCAUGUAUCACAUGUAAAAUGUUGGGCUUAUAUAAACCAUCAAAUACGAAAUAAAUAUUAAAUAUUUUCUUGAUUAAAUUUGUGAUGUAAAUUUAAAUAAUAAUUAAAAUUGAAAGUAUGACAACUAUCUAUUACCCUUUGCUUUUUGGUUUGAAAUUUUAGUUUACAAAUAUUACUUUCAUUCAAAUGUUUCUCUUUCUUUUGAUUUUAAUUUCUACAUUCAAAAGAUUUUCUCAAAUUUAAAAUCUACUGAAAAUAUAAUCUAAAAUAAGUUUGCAAAAAUAGUAAAAAUAUCAUGAAAAGUGGGAGUAGAUAUUAUUUAAAAAUCAAACUAAAUUAAAAUAAAUAAAUAUAUAUAUAUAUCUAAACAAUUGAGAAGUUUAUUGUUUUUCGUAGAGUUCAUGCAGCAUCCCAAUUUUGUCAUAUAUUAUAAACUUAGUUUUUAGCCUUAGCUUACAUGUUUAAACCUUUCUAGAUGGAUGGUUAUAUUUAAUUCAUGGCCGUAAAACGAUGUAAUAAAUAACAUUUUAAAAAAAAUUCAAUACGUAAGAUUUUCUUGAAAAACUGUAUUAGAUGAUAAAAGAAAAAAUCUACAUCACAUUCUUUUUUGUUUACCGUAGAUAUGACAAAUAAUUAAUGAUAUUAGGGUUAUUCAAUUUUUAAUUUUCUACUUUUUCAAUUUAAAAAAAUGCGCUGACAUAUUACACUCUAAUGUAAUAAAUUCUUUUUGCUAUUUUCGCAAUUAAGAUUAAAUUUGGAUAUUUAUAAUUUCUUGAUUUUAUUAUCACAUUUUAUAGUGUACACUCUAUUUCUGAUUUCCUUUGUCAAAUAUGUAAAGAGAUAUUUGAAAAUUUACUUUUUACAUUUCAGCAUGUUACAAUUUUUUAUCAAUGAUAUUUGAAUGUCGUAUCAACCUUAUUCCUAAGUUUUAAAAUUUAUUAUUUUUAAGUUCUUUAAACAAUAGUUAAUUUUAAAAAAAUUUAUAAACUUUUAAAAAUAAUAAAUUUGAUCAAAUAUUCACAACAUAUAGCAAAAUUUCAGAUUCUGUCAAUAAUAGAAAUUGAUAGACAUUAAUAUUCUUUUAUUAGUGACAUUAAUAGACAAUGAUAGAAUCCAACAUUUUGCUAUAACUUGUAAAUAUUUUAAUUUAUUUUGUUAUUUUUAAAAAUAUUUCUAAAAUUAGGAGGGUUCUGUUUUUUUCUUUAACUGUUAAUAUAAUUUUUCAGUGUAGAAGGGUUUAUAAACUUAAUUUUCAAAAUAAAAAUUAGACUAAAAUGAAACUUACAAUUUAAAAAAAUGAAUUAAAUUGUGAUCUUUGGAACUUAGGACAGACGGAAUCCAAAAUUUAGAACUAAAGUAUACUUUUUGUAAAAGAGAAAACAAUAUGAAAAGUACAUAUCCGAUAUAAUACGAACAAAGAAUUUACUAAAGUAACUUUACAUUACUUUUGUAGGUUAAGUUCAAAGACUUAAUUAAAAGUAAUUACUUUAAUUUAAUCAAUUUUGGAAGUGGGUAAAUUAAUUAAUGUUAAUAUAAUAUAUUUUAUUUUUUAAAAAAAGGAUUAAUUUGUCAAUUAACAACACAUAGCCACCAAAGAAUUAUGGCCCACAAUAUAGUUUCCACCAAAGACCCAACCGAUUAUAUACAUAUUAUUAACAAACUAUAUAUUAUUAAUAUAUACCAACUUCAAAGUACUAUUAAAAUCAAUAUAAUAUCGUAAUUGUCCUAAUUAAUUAUGUCAUCAAACUAAACUUUUUUAUGCAAAAUCCAUCAAUUUGACAAGUGGUACAACCACAAGUGGAGUUCAUAUUCUCUCAAUUUUUUCUUUAUUAUGAGACUUUAAUUUACUAAAACUUGCUCAUAUACAGCUUGAUUACCACUUUACAUAUUAAUUAAACAAAAUAAUGUAUGUGUGGACACUAACCCACUACUGAUAGUUCAGUGUUUUAAGAUUUCUAUUUAAAGUAUAAAUUUCUCUAUCUUAAACUCAAAUUAAAUAAAUAAACAAAAUCUUUACUUCCACCAACAUGUAUCACCUUUAUUUAUAUAUAUAAUUCAUUCAUUUAUGUUGAUAGGGUGAAAUAUAAUUAUUUGGGAUGACCUUGGAUGUAUACACACACCACUCUUCUUAAUUAUUAUUAUUGUUGUUAUUGUUAUUAAAUUUACUAUUAAUGUUUGAUUUCUUUUUUUCAGUCAAAUCAUUGAAUUUGAAUAAUAAAAUGAUGAUGUGAUACUUAAAAGCUAUGCAUUUGCUAUCAUCUUUAUUUUUAUUUCCAUGGAGUUUUUUAUUUGAGGAAAAUAUGAAGUAAUGUUUUGGAAUGAUAUAUAUUUUCCGGACCGACUUGAAAAUAUAAAAGUAGAUUAGAGUUUGAGCUUCUGUUUUUUUUAAGAAAGAUGUAUUAAUUACCAUAAACAAUAUUGUCCGUCUCGAUCACACGAAAAAGAAACACAUGAAGACAAUAAAGAAAAUUUGACCUAAGAAUGGACUACAUCAUUACAUCUUCGGAAAGAGUAAGUCAAACCUCGAACAUUUGACCGACUAAUAAGAUCAACUACUUUAGUGUAAAGAAUAUAAUCCUUCAACUAUACAAUGUAGGAAAAUAAGAGAUUCAAGCUUUUAAUCCUUUGAUUACUAACAUUAUAUCUUAAUCGAAUAUCACUGUAACGAUUACUGUCAUGGGAUUGUUAACCUUAAUUCAACACAAGGGAUAAAAAAAACGAGAUGAUGCAAAGAAAGUUGAGAUAGGAGAAUUGAAGGAGACAGUGAAUGGAAUAUAAUAGAAUGGUGUUUUUCUUUUCUCUUCUUCUUCUUCUUCUUUUUUUUUUGGGGGGGUUGAAAAAGAAAAUAAUGAAUAAAUAAAUAAAUAAGGAAGAGAUGGCAUAAGAAAACAAAACCUUAGUUGGAUAGAGAAAGUCAAAUAAUUGGGACAAAAUUAGUGAUGAAUUGGAUUUGCUUGGGGAAAGCUGUUUUUUUCUUUAAUUUUGUUGUGUGGUUUUUGGAAGAUGGAGAAAUCUAGUUUGGGUUCCAGCUAUCAUUUUGCUUUUUUUCAUACCUUUUUUAGUGAAAGGAGAAAGGGAUAGAGAUCUUCCACUUGCAAUAAUUUUAAUAACAUAUCCAACCUUCUUUCCCCCCCUUUGCUUAUAUGGAUUCUUACAUCUUCAAUUCCUUUUUAAAUCAUAUAUAUCCUUAACUUCCUAUCACCUUUCUUUAAUAAAGAAAAAAAAAACCCAUAACCUUUAUAUUUGCAUCAUCUUAUACAAAACUCAACUAAUCUUAUACAACAAUACUUAUUCUUUCAAACUCUUCAUUUUUGUAUAACUCAGUUGAGUUUGUUUUACUAACUUUUUAGAGAAAGGGAAGUCCUCUCUCGAUCUAGGCUUUUUGUGUUAAUUUUUUCAUGAUUUAUUUAAAUAUCAAUGAAGGAUACUAAUUAAAAUUUGUGUCAACCUAGUUUGGUUAAAUCAGUGCACUUACUGAAUGACAUGCGCUACAUAUAUUUAUUUAGGAAAAAAACCCGAAUAGAUUGAUGAAUAUAUAACCAAACCUUUGACUUUUAGAGAAAAGAGUUGUACAAAAUAUCCUUGACCUAAAUUUACUUUGAUCCUUGAAUUCUUUAUUAAACCCAUAAUCUUCUUUUGAUUGUGAAACGUCCACGAUAAUUCGAUUAGUGAUAACUCCAUGGAAUAUUUUUGAGGUCCCACCUUUAUUAAUAUCAAUACAUUCACGUUUUUGGAUGGAGGAAGAUUUCAUCAUAUCAUAGAUGUAGAACCACAAAUGGUUUUUUGGAUUCAACCAUUUUUGUUUUUAUAAUUAAUUGUAAAGAUAUAUCGUGUAAAUUGUUGAAUAAAAUGAUUUGAAAAUGACAAUCACAAAGAUUUUGAAUUCGGUAUAUCCUUCUUUCUUCCUACGUUACUUUAAAUCUAUCACUUUGUAAUUUUCUUUCUUUCUUUCUUUUUUUAAAAAAAGGGCCAAUAAUGUUUUAUCUACCACAACUAAUUCUAUCCUCCCAAUAAUAAAUUUAUCACUAUCGUUAUUGUAGAUUUUUCUAACAAAGUGUAUAUAUAUAAAAUGAUAGUGAAUAAUUCCAAACAUUAUUCUUAUUUCAAGGGAUGGACUACAGAAAGAGUGGAUUUGGCACUUUCAUAAGUGUGGGAGAGAGCUUGGGUUGUGUAGAGAUUUAAAACAAAAUGGUUCAUGUCCCUGACUUUAUCAGAUUCGAUUUCGAGGGAAGAAGUUAGGGUCAUGUUAAGUGGAAAACCAAACAUUCGACUUCGGGGGAAGAAGUUAGGGUCAUGUUAAUUAUUACUGAACUUAAACUCAUUUUGAAAAAAUUACUUUGAGAUUUUACGUACAUGAUUUUUUUAUGCAAUGAACGAACAUCCUCAUUAAUCAAUACUACUUGGACUCUUUUUGUUAUAUGAAUAAAAUCACUAAAAUAAGAGAAAAUACAUAACUUAGUGUAUAUGAAAGAAUUUGAGACGGGUGACUUCACGAUGUCUCUUCUCUUAGUUUUAAGAAAAUUUUUACUCACUUUAAUGUUUAAGUUUAAUUUAAUGAGUAAUUAUUUUUUUUUAUGAUGUCUCUUAUCUUAGUUUUAAGAAAAAAUUUACUCACUAUAAUGUUCAAGAUUAAUUUAAUGAGUAAUUAUUUUGUUUAUGAUGUCUCUUCUCUUAGCUUUAAGAAAAAUUGUACUCACUUUAAUGUUUAAGUUUAAUUUAACGGGUGAUUAUUUUUUUAUGAUGUCUUCCCAAAUUUUAAUAGCAUAAAUUAGGAUAUGAAGAGGAUAGUAUUUAGAACAAGUGAAGAUUAUUAAUUAAAUAAAAAAAUUUACAAUACUUGUACACAAAAAUUGCAAAACAGUUUCUUCUCUUGUUCUAUUUCUUGGAAAAUUUGAACUCUCAUUUUCUAAUAAAAUGUUUGUUUGAAAUAUUAAUCAAGUUUAGUAAAAAUAAUUGAGUUUAAUGGUAUAUUUUUAGAAGCAAGUUUUUUUAAUAAUAAAAAAGUGAGAAAAUUGGGAAUUUUUUUAAAUAAUAAUAUAAAAAAUAUAGUAGAAGAGAGAGUAUUGACAAUAAUAAGGGUAGAGAAGUUGUGAACGAGUUUCAUGACUUGUUUGCCUACUAAACUAAAGUCUUGGACGGAGUUCACUUCUUUUUUCUUUUUCUUUUUUUUAUAUAUAUAUAUAUUAAAUAUCUCACUUAAAUUCUAAUUCUAAAAUAUUUUUUUUAUUAAACUUUUUCAUUCAAUUUUUUCUUUAUUUAUGUAUAUAUUAGGGGUCUUUUAAAAAAUAUAACGGUAAAGUAUGUAUGCCAUAUUGAAUAAUUUCGAAAACUAAAAAAUGCCACAGACUCACAAUGGAAAAUUUAAAAAAUGUCCUGAUUAAUUGGGAUCAAGCGCAAUUAAUUUGAAAAACAAUAAUUUAAUAUUUGAAAAAUGAUCAUUUAGGGCUAUCCAAUAUUCUAACGAUUUUUUUAUACGAUUUUUCAUAUUUGUCACACGAUCUAAACAACCAAAUAACCAUUUGAAUUUUUUUUAUAUAUAUAUUUGGUACACGGAACCAAAUAACAAUUUAAAAUUUAUUUUUAAAAAUUACAGAAAAAGAAUAGAAGAAAGGACGACCAAAAGAACUACAGACCUAAAAUAUUUUUAAAAAAUGGUUAACUUAAGGAACCUUUUCAUUUUGUUAUAGCGAACGUAAAUAUUACGUCAGUUUGUUAUAUUUAUAAAAGUUAACAUAAUAUCUCAGUCUCAAAUUUUUAAAUUUCUUAUUAAAUUCACAUUUUCAAAUUUAUUUUGAUUAUUUCCUUAUUAACCACCUAUUUAUUCUUUUUUUUCUUUAUAUAUAUAUAUUUAUUAAAUAUCUCAAUUUCCAAUUUUACAUUAUUGUUCUCAAUUUCCAAUUUUACAUUAUUGUUUCCUUAUUAACAAAAUUUUUUGUUCUUUUUUUCUUUAUAUAUAUAUAUAUAUCUCAAUUUUCAAUCAAAAAUAUAUGUUUCCUUACUAAAUUGAGACCACGAACAAUUUUAAUUUAAUUAUUUCUAUAUUAACAUUUAAUUUCCAAUUUCAAUUGUUCGACCUUCAAAUUUUUUCAUGAAUAGAAUCUUUUUUAAGGAAGUGAUACACAACUUCCAUUACGUAGGUUUAACUGGUCAAAUUAUGGGUGACGUGGAUUACUAGAAGUCGUGUACUUCAAAAACACAAAAGUACUCUAUUUUUUUUCAUAGUUUCUUGUUAUACUCCAUUUCUAAAAUUUCUUUUCAUACUAUCCUAUUUUUGUUAUUAUUUAAAAGAACAUUUUUUUUUAAAAUACUAUGAGAAAAUAUGUAAAUUUCAAUCAAACAGUAGAGAGUGAAGAAAAGAGAGAUUAGAAAAUGACAAGUUGGGAAUUAUCCAAAACAAUUUGAACAGGAAAGAACAAUUAAAGUUAUUAUUAUUAUUAUUUUAAAGAGGGCUUUUAAAAACUAUUUAGAUUAAAAAUAAAAAUAAAUGAGAAACCAAUAAAUGAAUCCCAAAGUGCAUUGGAACAAGUUGCAUCUUUGACUAAAAGAAUCAACACACUACAACUCUACAACAUUUUAUUAUGUUUAUUAUUACUCUUAUUUUUAUUAUUAAUAAUUUAUAUUUAAAUUUAAACUAUUGUUUCAUUUAAUAUUUAAUUCAUAUUAACUCUUCAACUUAAACCAUUUUACUUUCUGAUGUUUGUUUUACUCGCUUGAAUUAAGUAAAUGGAUCAAUAAAAAUAGAUGAUAAAAUAUAAUAGUGAUUCAAAUAACCACUUUUAAAAUAUAUAAAAUAAAAUAGACAUUUAAAAUAAUAUUAACUAAAAUGAACCCAAAAAAAUUUAAAAUUUUAAAAAGAACAAAACUAGGUAAUAUGGAAUUUUCAAAUAUGUUUUAGUUAAGAGUUCUUUUAAAAAAAUUGGAAGUAACAAUUUAGACUUAAUAAUUUUAUUUGUAUUUAUAAGAAUCCAUCUCCCUUUUAUUGUGCGAGAAUUCAAUGAAUAUAUAUUAACUAAUUUAUUCAUGUGUAUAUUCUAUAUACCAUAUAAUGAGUAAAUUUGUGUAACUAAACAAAAAAAAAGUAGUAACAAGAAUCAAAAUAUUCAAUAACACUUUACAUUUAAAAUUUGAAAUCAAAUACUUAAUGGUUUCUAUAUUCUUUUUGUAUCCUAGUUAUUGGGUACUUUUAACAUAAAAUUACUCUAAGCUAAGCGUAUAUAAUUUUGAAAUUACUAGUAAUUUUAAAAAAUAUAAAGUUUCAAUUAUAUGUAUUAUAUAUCAUCUCUUAAUCUUCCAUUCAUAGUCGUUAUUUAAGUUAUUAACCUAUUCAAUAUUUUAAAAAAUCGACAAAUCUUCUAAGAGAAACAACUAAAGAAAACUUAAAAGAUCAGUAGCCAUAAAAUUUUAAAAUUAAAUAUCCAAAUAGAGAGGUUGAUCUUAAAAGAAAAAAGAAACGUGCAUGUGAAUACAAAAUUUUGAAACUUGGAUACACAUAUAGAAAAACUUUUUAAGUUCAAGACUUACUGUAAUAGGAAUGGAAAGUUUUCAAAGACAAAUAAUUGGAUGAGAUACACAAGAAUAGUAAGUACUACCAGACAAAGCACCUAUAUGUAUAUAUAUAUUUAUAUAUGUAUGUAUAUUCAUAUAUAUAUAUAUAUAUAUAGAUAUUAGUCUAUGGGCAAUACCAGAGAAGCCCCAGUUUGUGGAAAACCACUUUUUAGACUGUUUGACAGAAAACCAGGGGGAGGAGAAGGAAAAGUCUACUUUUUAUUAUUAUGAAUGUGAUUUAUUAUGAUUGUGAUUAUUAUUUUAUAUCAUACUUAUAUUAUAUUAUUAUUUUGGGCAAUUUAAGUUAUGAGGGGUCAGGUUGGAAUCAGAUAAGUUUAGCAACUUGAGGUUGAGGCAGCUUCCAAUAAUAAUAAUAAUAAUAAUAAUAAUUCCCAUCCCCCACCAUAUCUCUCACAAUUCCCUUCCCCUUUUUUAUAUUUAUUUUUCCUCAUCAAUGCAUUUAAUUUCUUUACAUUUUUCUAAUCAAAACCCUUUUUUUUUCUUUUUUUUUUUUAGUUUACAAAGUUUGUGUCAUAUCAAAAACAUUGUUAAAAUUAUUUGAUUUGAUGUGACCUUGUGGUAAAUUCAGAGAACAUUAUACAAUAAUUCAAUUACUUGUUUAUUAUUGCAUAAAAAUCAAUCCCAUUUUAUUAUUUUCUAUAUGGUAUACAUAAAGCUGAUCUUUUUGUAUGGGAAUAGGACAAAUUUUUUAGCUGAAGAAAAAGAGUACUGUAUACAUUAGAAAAAGACAAAUAAAAUAUCUUGUAACCCCACAAUAUUAUGAAAUAUAAUUUGGUGUUUUCCCACCUUCUAGGGUGGCAACCACUUCAAUAUGAGCAACCCCUUCAUGAUUGGAAAAUCUCAUGUAACUAUGUGUGUAUGUGUAUGUAUCUAAUAUGUAUACCUAUGGAUUUUCUUUUUCUUUUUCCUUUUUCCUUUUUUAGUGGGUUUUUUAUAUUAUAAUCUUUCAUUUGCGUAAUUACUUUUUGCAUUAGUCAUUUUCUGACUUUUUGGGAUUGAGCCCAUAUGUCUCUCCUUUAUAACAUAAUAAUUUUAGAAUACAUCAAUUGAAUAAUUGCUUCAUUUUUGUAUAUAAAACAAAUCGGCUUGAUGGCAAAAUGUUAACAAACAGGUGAAUCUAUAAGGACGUGACAAUUCAUUUUUACAUUUUAAUGUUUACUUUUACAUUGUUAGUUUAUUAUUAUUUACUAUUAACUUACUUUUUACUCUAAAUAAUAAAAUACUUAAAAUAUUUAUUAAAUAAUUUACAUGAUUCUAGACUCUAUUCAUCUAUCAAUUCUAUCCAUAUGAAGGAUUGAUGUUAAUAAAUCUAAAAUUUUGUUAUGUUUAUAAAUAUGUUGGUGCAUUUUUGCCAUAUUUGAAAAUGUUUGUUUUCUUUAUUAUAUGUAAUAGAUUUUUCGUAUUUAUUUGAUUAUCAUCCUUUUAUUUUUGUUAAGUAUGUUGAAUAAAUCUUAAUAUUAGUCUUUAGUUUCUUAUUUGUUUUUUCAAGCAAUUUUGUCUCUUUAAACAUGCUUUUCCUUCUUAUAAACUAUGAUAAUAUAUAUAAUAAGAAUUUAGUAGAUUAAUUAGAUUUUUCAUAAAUAAUAAAAAAAAAUUGUAAGCUCAAUACUUUUAUACAAAGUCUACAUAAAAUUAUAUAUAUAAAAAAACAAACCCAUGAUUUUGACGAUUUCUUACAUAGAAACUAAAUAGUUGUUAGAAUUAAAUUGUUAUAAAACUUAAAGUUCAAAAAUAAAAUGAUUAUAAAUUAAAGUUUAAAGAUAAAAUUGUCAAAUUUUCUUUUUAUAAAUAUUAAGGAGGAAAAUAGAUUUUUCUUAAAAAGAAAAAAUCUAAAAAGUAAAAAGGGUAGAAGCAAUUCUCUUAAUUGAACUCUUGGAUAUGAAACUAUAAGUAGUUUUGAAGCCACCCUUAAAAUAGUUGAAUAUUAGAUUUAAAUAUGUGGGGACAAAAGACCACUAAUUUCUUUGAAAUUAAAAAGGGGCCGAUAAGAAUAGGCUUUGAAAUUCAAACUAUUUAUUAAUGAGUUCUUUUUCUAAGUUUGGUAGAAAUUAAUACUAAGCUCAUGAAGCAUCUUUUUUGACCAACGAAAAAUCAAAUCAACAAUUCUUCUAAUAAAUUAAUCAAUUUGUACAAAUUUGAUCAAGGUUUUUCUGUUGUUCAAUUUUAGGUGACAAAAUUCAUACGUAAUUAAUUUGUAUGGUGCGAUUAGACCUUAUCCUUUUAAGGUCAAUAAUAUCGACAUCCAAAACCUUUUUAUAAGUAUGCAAAUUUUUAAAAUUUCAACUAAUUAAAUAAAUAUGUUUAUAAUUUGCGUUGAUCAAAUUAGCACGCAUAUUUUUAAAAUUUGUUAUUUUUCUUAUAAAUUUAUUUGGGACGUUUAUGAAAUAUUUAGAUAAACAAGUGCAAGUUAUAUAUAUAAUACAAAUAUUUAUACUCUAGUGUUUCACUUUAAACACAAACUUCUAUUUGUUAAUUGUAACUAAUAAUUCUCAUAUUUCACAUUGUUUUUAAAGUUAUAGUUAUGUUCUCUUAAUUAGGAUAAUUCUCAUAUUUCACAUUGUUUUUAAAAGCUAUGUUCUCUUAAUUAGGUAGACAUUUAGAUGACAAAUGAAUCAAGUUGACAUAUUAAUAUUAUUUUUUAAAAUUUUAUAAUAUUGACCCUUUCAUAUUUCAACGCUAAAAGUUAUCAUUUUUCUUUCUAAAAAAAUCAAUCACAAUUAAUAAAAGGUUGAAGAUCAACACUCAAUUAUUAUACAUAUACACAUAAAAUAGGAUUAAUUUGAAACAAUUUAGAAUCUAUCCUAAGUUGAUUUGAUCGUAUAUUAAACUUUAAAGAAAAAAAAAUUGAUGGUUGAGAUGAAAAGGUUAGUAUUUAUUUAUUAUAGGCAUGAAGAGUCAAGAUCCCCCAAAUGUUGAUUAAAGAAAUAAUUAACAAUUAAGAAAUCAAAGUGAUAUUUUGAUUUAAAAAAGAAAAAUAAAGAAUAAAAAAAGUCAUGGUAUGUUAAUUAAUACACGUGGUCCAACCAAAAACACGUUGGGUGGGGCUUACUAAAACUACGAAAGGGUGUGGCGACCCAUGCAUUCUGGGACACGUGUUUCAAUAUGAUUUGAAGUACACAUGCAGGUACAUCUUGUGUACGUACGUCAGUCUAAUUAUUGAGACAGAUUCAAUUUAUAUAAUUUAAAUUAACAAAAUAAAUAAUUCAUUCAUCAUUUUCUUUUUUUAUAAAUUAAAAUCAACUUUUACCCUUCCUAUUCCCAAAGAAAUAUAAAUGGGUUAAACUCUAUUAACCUUUUUUUUUUUAAUAGUUCAGAUAUUAUUUCCAAUAAAUUAAAAUUUUCUAUCAACUUUAGGCUGCACUUUUAUAUUUCUACUGUUUAUGUCAGCAUAUUCUUAUAAUCUUUGUAUUCAUUUCAUAUUCUUAUAUACAUGGGUCGUUUAUGUAUGUUAUUAUUAUUAAUAAUGAAAGAUUAGUUUGACUAAACUAAAAUUUAAGGAGGUUAGUAAUAGAAAAUUGUUAGGGUUGGAAAAGUAUAUAUUAGACAUAAUAAUGCUCGAGGUUUGAAUGAAAUGUAUAUACUCAUAAAAAUAUAUUGAUUAGAUUAGAAAAAGAAAUGUGAGUGAGAUGAGAUAAUGGAUUACAGCAGGGAGAGUGUGUGACAAUGAACGAAGAUUUUGGAGUCACGUGAAAUAAAGUAUUAAUUAAUUACUUUCAAUCAAUUAAUUAAUACUAAUAAUUGAGAUAUAAAGUAAAACAGGCAGAGCCAGUUGGUAUUGUAUUCCUUCCAUUUUCAUUCUCUCCUUCAUUUCUAUAUAUACAAAAUCAAUUUGUUUUAUUCAAAGUAUUAGUUUUGUAUCGAUGUGUCAACACUUUCUUUUAUAUAUGAGUUCAACAUUGACAUAAAAAUGAAAUCGGUAUUUUUAUUAUGUUGUAAAGAAUUCAUGAAACAUGGAAUAAUAAAUUGUUAAUCAAACACAUAAUACACUUACAAUUUAUUUAAGAAGCAUGUUAGACUUCUUUCUAACUACAUUUUUCUUUUGUAAAAUUGAAUAUUACGGGUUUUCUAAUAUAACAAAAAAAAAAAAAAUCAAUUUGUCAUUUUAAAUUUUACUGUAUUUAUAAAUAUAUAGGUGAUAUUGUUGAAAGAAUUUUAUUUUCAUUUAGAUUUGGAAAAGUCAAGUUGAUAUAGAAAACUCUUCAUCAAUUGUACUCUUUGUCAAGAAAGAAAAAAGGAACAAAUAUUAUGAGCUGUCGAAGGAAAGAUAUUUACCAAAUUGAAGAUGAGAUAAUUUUUCACGUCUUUAUUGGUUUUUUUCUGAGAUUUGAAAAUGUAAUAUUUGUUUGAGUGUUAAUUGACUUUACAGUAUUGGUUUCCUUAAUUAGAAAUGUGUAUGUGACAUUUCUUCCAAUUGAAUUCUUACAUAUACAUCACUUAUAAACAAUAGCUACCAUUUUAGAUUAGAUUAUUAGUUUCAUUUAAGUUUAAUUGUUAUCUUUUUCUUUUAUCAUCAUUAUUGUUAUUAUUAUUUCAUUUUGUUUUCAACAUUCUCUUGAACAAACAUUAGAAUAAUUGAACAAACAUUAGAAUAAUUACAAUGGAUAGUAAUAUUAUUAGAGAUAAUAAUAUAUAAGAGUAUAUAGCAACAUUUUUUAAAAAAUUGUAUAGAUAUAUAUGCUAUAUUUUAAAAGAUUACUAUCUAUGCUAGUAUUGUAUCCAAUGCUAAAUAACUUUUUAAAUAAAUAUUUACAAAACUUCAAAAAUUAAUUUAAUUCAUUUAACAAGUGAAUGGUCUUUUUUUUCAUGAAUACACAUUUUAAAUAUCAUUUUUGAUUUUGUAGUUUGAGCUUUCGUUAAUUUUAGUUCAUGUAUUCUCAAUAAAGAUAUUUAAAUUUAGUAUAUCAAAAUUGAUUAAUUAACAACAACAACAACGUUCAUAUAAACACAUAAGAGACAAUAUUGUUACCAAUUUUACAGCAAAAAUACCAAUGAGCAACAACUUUUUUCUUAAAAAGGAAUUCAGCAAGAAACUAUAAAGUAAAUUUAAGAUUGAUUAAGAGUACACCUACUAAAAAAUUAAAUCCUUCAAGUACAUCUUAAAAGUGAUAGAGUAAGUUAAUUAAAAACAAAUUUUUGACAAAUCAUAAAAUUUCCUAGGAAAACUCUAAAAGCUAAAAAGGUUGUGGACUUUGAAAUUGAAGAAGAAAAUAAAGUAAAAAAAAGAAAAAAGUAUAUAAUUAAACCCAUGAGCCACGUUUCAUUUCUAUAAUUUAGUUGAAUAUUAGCAAAUUAAAAAUGGCAUAAAACUUAUGGGGUUGUAUGUGUAAUUAAUGAUUUUAAAAAUGGUUUAAUUUACUUGAAAAAAACAUCUCGAGUGAGUGAAUAAGUCAACUUUGACAAUAAGCAAUCCAAAGAUGACCAAAUUCUAAUUAAUUAGUUAAACUAUAUAUUGAACUUCCCAAGGUGUUUGCUUCUGUGAAUAAAUUAUGCUUAUAUAUUAGCCAAUUAAAACCAUAGCAAAUAGCUUUUUUUGUAUUGUAUUGUCCAAAUAUAUAUAUAUAUAUGUAUGGAAAAAUUAAUGUACUAAAGUUUUGGAUCGGGUGCAAUGCUACAUGUCCUACUCACUUUUUUAAAAAAUUAUUGAAUUGAUUAAAAAAAAAAUUAUAUAGUUGACUUUUUAUAAACUCAAGAAGUAUUUGAAGGGUUAGUGAUCUUAUGUAAACUAGGGUUAUAUUCAACUUAGCUAACUAAGGUGUCAAUCUUCGAUUACGAUAUUGAUGAUUUGAAUAUCUCAUUUUGACAUAUUAUUAAAUUUGUGGGGAAAAAAAAUAUACUUAUAUAUUUAGUACAUAAAAUAUAUGUUUAUCUCAUGCUACACAAAAAAAAUUAAAAUUAUGUAAUACUAAUGGUUAAAUUUUUUAAAUGUGAUUACUAAAUUUAAUUUGGUUAAAGAAUUAUAUAUAUAUAUAGUUGUUUUUGAGUUUAUUGUUGUUGUGAAUCUUCAUCCUCAAGUUAUUGUUAAAUUUCUUAUUUCUAUUUUUUUAAUCUUAAAUAUUAACUUAUAAAUUAGAAAAUUUAAGACUCGUUUAAUAAAUACUUCCGAUUUGAUUCUUAGUAAUUCCGUUGUUAAACAUUAAAAUAGUUUAAGUUGUAUUGUCAAUUACUUUGCAUAUUAUCCUUUCAAUUUAGGUGUCAUGAGUUCAAUUUUAUUAUUAAAGUUAUAUAUAUGUUUGUAUUUUUAAAAAGGUAUAUUAUUGGGUGAAAUUUAUUGUAAAAUUGACAAGAAAAUUAUAAAAAUAGAGUUGACUUGAAUUUAAAAAUGGAUUUAUAUUAUAUGUAUAAUGUGAAAUUUUGAGGAGAGGUAUCAAUCCGAUGUAGCAAAAAGCUGAGAAUUAACUUAAUGCAUGAAUGAUAGUGAAUAUAAUCAUCAUUUGACAUUUUCUUUUCUCUUUUUAAUAAAUCAUUUGACAUUUUUUUUGUCUUCACCAAAAACUUUGACGAACUUUAUUAAUUAUAAAAUUAAUGAAAAUCAAAAUUCAACUCAUUAACUUGCAAGCUUUAUUUGAUUAAAUUACACGCCAUUAAUCUAUUAUAUAUUUAAAUAUGUUUGUAUGUAUAUGUGUAUAUCCAAUCCAAUUCCUGGAUAGAUCCAAACAAACUUAAUUCAAAUUUGUGAGGAUUGAGUUGAAUUACAAAACAAUUACAAAAGUCACUAUAUUUAUUUUAGUUCUUGAUUUUUCAAGUUUUUAUAUGUAUAGAAAUUAUCAAAAUCAAUAUUUUCAAAGUACACUGUGUAAAUAAAAUAAAGUAUAUAAUCGUAUUUUGCUUUCGUUUAGGUCAACAAUUAAUUUUGUUAUCAAAUGUUAUAGUGUUUAUCAAAUGAGAUUAUACUUAAAUUGAAAUAUUAAUCAAAUUAUCUAUUGAUUAACGACACGUUACUUUCUAGUUUAUUUGGUGUCAAUACAUUUUUAAUUACUUAAUGUUUACAAUACGAGUUAAAAUUAAUUUUAGACUGAAAUUGGAAAAUAAUUUAUUCUCGAAUAAGCUUGAGUUAUAUCAAUCCAACUAUAUAUGUUUUUAGUGAAGGUGAGUUUAGCUUGAUUUAAUCCACUGUUCUCGUAAUUUCUUUUUAUAGAAAAUAUGCCAUAUACUUCUAACUUUCAUUUAACUUUGUUUAAUCCGUAAUUACCCCUAUAGGCCCAAGCCCAACGCUCUUAUCCAAAAGACCAAAGGCCCAAUACUUUUCAACUCACACCCUUAAGUUUCAACCCACUUUUCAUAUCCAAAAAAAAAAAAAGAAAAAAGAAAGAGAAAAAAAUCACUCACUUUAGACCUAUUUUACACAAAGUAUCUAAAAACUUUUCGAAAAUUUUAAAAAAUAGUAGAUUUUACAAAAUAUUUACAACAUAUAGCAAAUCCUAUCGGUGAUAGUCAUAUAUGCUAUAGUGAUAUAGUGAUAGAACACUAUCGGAAUAAAAUCUAAAAUUUUAGCUUGUAAAUAUUUUAAUUUAUUAUUUUAUUUUUAAAAAUAUCCCAAAACUUUGUUUAUUUAUUAGUUAAGAUUUGGUCGAACCAUUUUAUGUUUGUAACAAUUAUAAAUACAAUUUAUUUUUUGAAAAUUCAUAUAAUAGAAUACCAUAGUUAUAUUAUAUCACAUUUAGCAUCUUUCAUAAUUAAUAUAAUAAAUAAUUCAGAUUUAUAUUUGAUUUAAUAUUAGGAUAUGAUACUUCAUUUUAAUAUGACAUCAAGUUGGAUCUAAUAUGGUAAUAAUAUAUUAAUUAAUUUCUACAUUCUUUCACCUUACCGACGUCUAUUAAAACAUUUAUAAAAAAAUUGGCAACACUAGAUUCAACUUGUAAUGAGACCGCUAUUUAGUCCGACGUCUAUUAGGACAUUUAUGAAAAUUUGGGAAUGCUAGGUGAGACACCCCUAGUUAGGUUAUAGUAGUUAAAAUCCAAAAAAUAAUUAUAUAAAAAAAUUAAAAUAAAGAUCUUCAAAGUAUAGCAAACUCUAUCGUCGUUAAACCAAUAUUUGUAUUAAUAGUCUAUCAAUGAUAGACUCAUAUUGUAGAGUACUAGAGUGAGCAUGGUCAAGUUUUUGAAAAAUGCAUACAAAAUAAAGACCAAUUUAUAUAAUCAUUCUACAUGGAUAAAAAAAUGUUAAUUUAAAGAAAUUGAUAAAUUGUUAUAAGUUACCCUCUGAUAGGCACCGUGUGGAAAUUCAAAAGGGAAAAUUGUUAGGGAAGCAGUAAUGGCAUAUUGGGUCGAAGCUUUGGAGCGUUAAACUCAAAACAAAAAAAAACACAAAAUUGAUAUUAGCAUUGCUUCCUAUAAUUUAAGCAAUGAAAAAACAAAUAAUACAUCUUCAUCAUUUUAAAUUAUAGGUUAAACCAAAAGAAUUUACAAUAGGAAGAAAAAUAAGGUGAAAACUGGAAAGAUGGAUCCAGAUUAUUGACGUCCAAAGAGUAAAAGAGUACACAAACCAUUAGAAAGGUGGUCGAGACAAUAAGAGUAGAUACGAAAUCCAGAGUCUUAAAAGACAUUAUAGAAAUUAGAGAAGAAGAUGGUAACGCCGCUCGCUAUCUGCACCGACACCAUUCUUGAAAUCGACCGACGAAGAAGAAGGCUCGGUGAAAAGAGAUGGCUGGAAAAUUACUUCCACUUCUUGAAUUUUCCUCCGCCAAACAUCCCGUGUUUCCCAUGUUUGUGUUUCCCAAACUUUCCGUGCUUGAACUUCCCAUGGUGCUUGAAUUUUCCACCGUGACCGUGACCAUGACCAUAAUGAGCAACACCAUGGGGGUA